RNAcentral lists this long non-coding RNA (82233 nucleotides) under Nicotiana benthamiana. Its description in RNAcentral is "long non-coding RNA (NBEN_LNC022760)". Lineage: Eukaryota; Viridiplantae; Streptophyta; Magnoliopsida; Solanales; Solanaceae. The record is from RNAcentral.
ACUUUCUAUAUAUCUGUCUCCAUCCAAUCAAAGACGUCCAUGCCAUAGAGAAUCAGGCUCGGCAAAAACGAGACUAGGGACCAUGCUCCCCGCUUUCUUCCUGUGGUUACUAUUAGAACACAAGCCAAGGAACUCAAAACCACAACACAAGCACCCUUUAUUUACUAGUUUUGGAGUUUUCGCCCUUUGCUUCCGGCUUUGAUGAAGGUAAAUAGUCAAAAAAGUUCCCCGUAGAACGCGAGCGUUGAGGCUUUCAUCGAAACAAAGAGAGAGGCCCAGCUGGUGCUUUUUUCUGUGUUAGCCAGGUGAAAGGCUUGCUUGACUAUAAAUAGAUUAGUGUAUUAAGUAAGGAACUACUAAAACCUCUAUUCCCGUUUUUGGGCUAUAAGACUCUUAGCUUCCAGCGAGCUAGGUGCAUAAGCUUUUUUUACUACAAAAACGAUUCCUCCCCCGGCAAAAAGUGGUCCGCCAACUGAACUUGCCUUGUUGUGAUAGGGAGGGGGAGCCGGUUCCGCCUCCGACUGAGGAGCAAAAUUUCAAUCGAUACGCGGUAGCUUCGACGAGCUGGGACCGCAGUGGUGUACCCAUGCCCUUUCAUGCAUAUGUUUUUCGUCAACCAUACUAUUAGUGAGGCGAGGCGAUCUUCAGAUACUUCGAGGUAUAUCUUCUGCGUCCGCAGAUCAAGGAGCCCCUCUCUAUUCCCUCUUUUAAUUAUUGACCUUUUGUACUUUCUUUUGAAUACACAUUCUAGAGCUAGACCACUAUGUAGUAUAUAAAGCUUGUGAUUUCACGAGAUAACGAGUUUUGGGAGUUGUUUCAGUUUUGAGAGUGUGUAUAUGUAUAUGCCGAGGGGCAUAUUAAUAAUUUAAAUUAUGUUAAUCCGCAGUUUUUGCUAGUUUCAUAUUUCAUUUUCUUUUUCCGUAAUUUGUUAGGCUUACCGAGUCGUAAAGACUAGGUGCCAUCACAAAAGUUCAUGGAGACUGAACUUGGGUCAUGAUAAGAGAUUGAACUUGGGUCAUCAUAAUUUUGUAUCAGAGCUCUAGGUUUAUAGGAGUCAUGAAUCACAAGCCAGUUUAUUAGAGUCUCGUAGAUCGGUAGGGAGAUGUCUGUACUAUGUACCUAUUAGGAAAAUUCCACUUUAUUUGAUUUACGUCGUGCGCGAUUUUUGAUAUGAAAAUUCUAAGCUUCUUUCUUCUAUUCUCUCACAAAUGGUGAGGACACGUGUUACCGGAGAUGACAAGGCACCCGCGCCCCCUACUAGUGCCGUCAAUGGUCGGAUCUGGGGUGGAGGCAGAGGAUACGCAUGUGGUGCAGCCAGGGAACCUUUGUGAGCUGCCAGCAAUGAGCCACCAGCAGCUCCAGCCGAAGCCCAGACACCUGAUACGCCUACUACUACUAUCAUUCCAGCUCUUUAGGAGACCAUUGCUCACUACGUGAGCACGUACACAACUCAAGCUCAGGCAGAGUUGAUUCCCAUUGUUGCAGCCACAUCCAAGGCUGGAGAAGGAGCACAGACUCCCGCCACACGCACUUCUGAGUAGCACGUCUGGGUUGAUCAUAUCCCAGAGGUUAUACCGGUACUACGUGUGGUCCUAAUUUAGCUUGAGGACAGGGCACUAGCUUUUCACGAUGAGCAACUGAGGCUUGAGAGGUUUAAAAAGUACAACCAUCCUGUAUUCAAUGGCAUAGCAUCAGAUUAUGCUCUAGGAUUUUCUGAAGAGUGCUACCGUAUCUUUUGCACAAUGGGUAUAUCAGGAUCGAGUGUGGUUUUUUUCACUGCCUUCCAGCUUCAAGGAGCAGCCUAUUAGUGGUGCGUACUUUUCAGUGUGAAAAUCCAGCUGAGGUCGCUUCCCUUGCUUUGACCUAGUUUUCAGAUAUGUUCUUGAAUAAGUUAGUUCCUCAGAGCCUUAGGAACGCAUGCACGUAGAGUUUGAGCAUUUUCUAUAGGGUACUGUGACCGCGUUAGUGUGUACUGUCCAUUUCACUAACUUUGUUAGGCAUCACUUGCCUUGGUUUCUAUAGUUUGUGAGAGAUUUUUCUAGUUUAUUGAGUAACCUAUUCCCAGCAUCAAGCCUAGCAUGGCUCGGAGUUGGAUAGGGAUAUUCCUUAUCACCAGGUGGUAAGCAUUGCUAGAAGAUUAGACGGUAUGCAUGCUAAGGAUAGAGAGGAGCGGGAGGCCAAAAGGUCUCGAGAGUUGGGCUAUUAUUCUAGUGCCCAAAGCCCCAGCUGUAGUUCGUCAUGAUAUGGGUCAUUUGAGUCACCACGUUCAUUCAUCUCUUAUGUUAGCCAGUGGUAUUCCAACUCCUCAUAGACCUAAGGAGCAUUAUUAUGCACCUUUAGAAUCUAGUGCGCCUCCUACGUUGGGUGUUUUCAGUGGUCAGUCCAGUAGAUUUGGCCCAAGCUAGUCACAGCCGGCACAUCCUACUAGAGCUUAUUUUGUGUGUGGCGACACAUGCUAUAUGGUGACAAAUUACCCCAAACUCAGGAGGGGCACUCUUCCACAGACUUCUCAACCACAGCAUGCCCUGUAGAGUUCCCAAGCUGAGUACAACACCAAUUUUUUCCCCACAUGCCCAUCCAACUAGAGGUGGAGGUCGGGGAGGUAGACGUUUCCCUACAGGGAGAGGCCAAGAAAUAUAUUAUUCCCUUCAUGCCUGUAUGGAGGUUGUCGCCUCCAAUUCUGUUAUCACAUGCAUUUUCCUAGUUGGUAAUAGAGAUGGAUCAAUUUUAUUCUAUCCAAGAUCCAAUUAUUCUUAUCUGUCCUCUUAUUUUGCCCCGCAUUUUGGCAUAUCUCGUUAUUCUUUGAGUUCCCCAGUUUAUGUUUCUACUAUUGUGGGAGAUUAUCUUGGUGUAGACCACUUUUAUCGUUCAUGUUUGGUUGCUCUUAGUGGUUUUAAGACCAGAGCCAAUAUAUUAGUGGUUAGCAUGGUAGAUUUCGAUGUCAUCUUUUGUAUGGACUGGUUGUCGCCCGAUUAUGUUAUUCUUGAUUGCCACGCCAAAACCGUGAUGCUGUUAUGCUAGGUGUACCGUGAGUUGGGUGGAGGGGUACUUUUGAUCAUUCUCGCAGUAGAGUUAUUUCUUUCCAUAAGGCCUAGCGAAUGGUUGAAAAGGGGUGUGACGCGUAUGUAGCCUAUGUGAGAGAUAUUAGUAUUGAUACCCAUACAGUUUAUUUAGUACAAAUAGUACGAGACUUUCCUGAUAUGUUUCCAGUUGACCUUCAGGGUAUGCCACUUGAUAGAGAUAUUGAUUUUUGCAUUGAUUUGUUUCAAGGAACUCAGCCCAUUUAUGUUCCUCCGUGUCUUCUAUGGCCCCUCCUUUGUUGAAUGAGUUGAAGGAUCUGAGUUGCAAGAAUUUCUAGAUAAGGGUUUUAUUUAGCCAAGUGUACCACCUUGGGGUGCUCCUAUCUUGUUUGUGAAGAAAAGAUAUUUCUAUGCGUAUGUGCAUUUGUUAUUGCCAGUUGAUCAUAGUUAUAGUGAAGAAUCGUUACCCUUUUCCUUGUAUGGAUAAUUUGUUUGAUUAGUUAUAGGGUGCACAUGCGAUUUUUGAGAAUGACUUGUGUUCAGGUUACCGUCAGUUAAAGAUUCGGGAGCCAGAUAUCCCGAAGACUACUUUUAGGACAUGGUAUGGUCAUUACAAAUUCCUUAUUAUGUCAUUUUAGUAGACUAACGCCCCAACAAGCUUCAUGAAUUUGACAUAAAGUUUAUUCCGGCCAUAUCUUGACUCGUUCAUCAUUGUCUUUAUUGAUGAUAUUUUUGUAUACUCCUAGAGUCGGGAAGAUCAUGAACAGCACCUGAGAACAAUGCUUCCGACUUUGAGAGAAAAGAAAUUAUAUGCAAAGUUCUCAAAAUAUGGGUUUUGGUUGGGUUCCUUGAAUUAUUGGUCACGUGGUAUCGACUAACGGGAUAAUGGUGGAUCCGAUAAAAGUGGAAGCAGCGUAGAGUUUUCCCAGACCGUCCUCAACUGUAGAGAUCCGCAAUGUUCUUGGCUUGGUGGGUUAUGACCAUGAAUAUUUUGAGAUAUUUUCAUCUACUGUAGCACCUAUGACCAGGCUAACCUAGAAGGGUGCUCCAAUCUAGUUGACGGAAGGGCUUUAGGGGAGCUUGUAGAGGCUUAAAACAAGUUUGACUAUAGCUCUAGUAUUGAUAUUUCCUAUAGGUUUGGGGUUUUAUAUUUUCUAUUGUGAUGCCUCGAGGAUUAGACGGUAGGGUGAUUGCCUAUACAUCUAGAUAGUUGAAGGUACAUGAGAAGAAUUAUAUUGUCCAUGAUCUCGAGUUAGCUGUUAUUGUUCACGCCUUGAAGAUCUUGCAUCAUUAUUUGCACGGUAUUUCUUGUGAGAUCUAUAUUGAUCACCUCAGUUUUCAGCAUUUGUUCAAGCAAAAUGACCUAAAUUUGUGCUAGAGGAGGUGGUUAGGGCAGCUGAAGGACUAUGAUAUCAUUAUUUUGUAUCACUCGGGCAAGGAAAUUAUGGUGGCUGAUGCUUUGAGUCGCCGGACGGAGAGUUUGGAGAGUCAGGCUUAUUUACCAUCAGUAGAGAGGCUAAUGGAGAUGGAUAUUAAGGGCUUAGCCAUCAAGUUUGUAAGAUACGACCGGGUUCUAGCUUCUAUGAUUUCUCGGUCAUCCUUAUGUGACUGUAUCAGAGAGUGUCAGUUUUAUCACCCUCAUUUGCUUGUCCUUAAGGACAAUGUUCUGCAGAGUGAUGCAAAAGAUGUGACCACUGGUGAUGACACGGUAUUGAGGAUGUAGGGCCAUGUAUGUAUACUCAAUAUUGAUGAGCUUCGAGAGUUGACUUUAGAGGAUACCCAUAAUUAGCCGUAUUCCAUCCAUUCGGGUGCCAUAAAGAUGUAUCAGGAUUUGAGAUAACACUAUUGGUGGAUGGCGGAUGAAGAAAGAUAUAGUUUUGUUUGUAGUUCGGUGCCUUAACUAUCAGCAGGUGAAGUGCAAGGACCAGGGACCAAGUGGUUUGCUUCAGCAGAUAGAUAUUCCAUAGUGGAAGUAGGAGCAGAUCACCAUGGACAUCGUAGUUGCACUCCCACAGACUUUGAGGAAGUUUGAUUCCAUUUGGGUGAUUGUGGAUCGGCUGACCAAGUUGAUGUAUUUUAUUCAUCUAUGUACUACCUAUUCUUCGGAGAACUAGGUGGAGAUUUAUAUUCGGGAGAUUGUUCGUCUACAUGGUAUUCUAACUUCUAUCAUUUUAGAUCGAGGUACUUAGUUCAAAUCAUGGUUCUGGAGGGCCGUGCAAUAAAAGUUGGGUACGCGAGUUGAGUUGAGCACAACAUUUCACCCCCAUAUAGGCAGACAGUCCGAGCACACUAUUUAGAUUCUUGAGGAUAUGCUCUAUGUGUGUGAUAUGGAGUUUGGAGAUUUUUGGGAUUAGUUCUUGCCACUGGAAGAGUUGCCUACAACAACAGUUAUCAGUCCAGCAUUCAGAUGGAACCGUAUGAGGCUCUGUAUGUUGGGCGGUAUAGAUCCCCAGUGGGUUGGUUUGAUCCAGUAAGGCUAGAUUACUGGGCACAGACUUGGUUCAGGAUGCCUUGGAGAAGGUUAAAAUGAUUCAGGAUAGACUCCAUACAGCCUAAUGCAGAUAGAAGAGUUAUGCGGAUUGGAAGGUUUGUGAUGCUUCGGAAGUAUCACGAUGAUCCAUCACACAUGUUGGAUUUCAGUUCAGUACUAUUGGACAAAGCUUUAUCUUAUUUUGAGGAGCCUAUGGCGAUAUUGGAUUGGCAAGUUCGGAAGCAGAAGUAAAAGAACAUUGCAUUAGUGAAUGUAUUGUGGCGAGGUUGGCCAAUCGAGGAGGAAACUUGGGAGGCGGAGCAGGAGAUGCGCAACUGUUACCCUCAUCUUUUCAACACUUCAGAUAUGUCUCUAUGAUGGUUUGAGGAUGAACGAAUGUUUUUAGAGUAGGAGGAUUUACCGACCCGGUCAAUUUUUUAAAGUAUUAAUGCCCCGAUCCUAUAUUAACUGCUUUCCCUGUGUCAAUUUAUGCUAUUAUGAGUUGUUGGGAGGAUCCUUUUUGAGUUUCAGAGUGUUUUGGGACACUUAGUUCCCAAAUGAGAGUCUAAGCUUUAGAAUUUGGACCGUAGUCAGAACACUGUGAAGACAACCUCGAAAUGGAAUUCUCUCAGUUAUGUUAGCUCCAUUGGGUGAUUGAGGGUUUAAGGGUGUAUUCGGGUUGUGUUUCGGAGGUCCAUAACUUAUUUAGGCUUGAAACACCAAAAGUGGAAUUUUUAAAGUUUUUAUCCUUAGUGUAAUUUUGAUAUCGGGGUUUGAAUCUGAUUUCGAAAGUCAGAACAACUCUAUAGUUUUGAAUGUGAGUUGUGUGCAAAAUUCGGGGUCAAUCGGACAUGGUUUGUUGGCUUCGGCAUCAAUUGUAAGUUUCUUGAAAUUUCCAGUUCUUUAGGUUUGGAGUUUGGGCAAUUCGUGGUUUUAGCAUUUUUGAUGUGAUUUGAGGGUUAGACUAAGUAUAUAUAUGAUGUUUUAGGACUGGUUGGUAUAUUUGGUUGAGGUCACAGGGGACUCUGGUGAGUUUUAGAUGCUUAACGGAAGUGAAUAUGGACUUAGGAAAAAUAUGAAGGUUAUGAACCUGUCAUAACCGCACCUACGUGUGGGGGACUACAGGUGAGGAAACACAGAAGUCGUUUGGGAACCACAUGUAUGGUUUGAGGCAUUAGGGGAGCUGGUGGCAGAUGCACCCCAACGACCACAAAAGCGGAUUGCAUCUGUGGUUAAAUUGGUGCAUGUGCGGAACUUGUUCUUUUAAAGUAAAAUCCGUUGGUGUAUACGACCCUUGCAGAUGCAGAAAUCGUUGGGCAAAAAUAUGAAAAUCGAGGGUUUGAGUUCAUAGGUAGGAAAAUCAGUUUUUAGCUAGGGGUAAGGCAAUUUUGGGAAGAUUUUGAAAAGCAAAUUAGUUGGUAAUGAUUCCUAAUCCUUUUUCUAGUUAUAUUCCGUUAAGCUAAUCUUAGUUUUGUCAUUUAGUUUCAGAUUUUGGGUGGAAAAUUGGGGAAAUCGAGGAAAAGUUCCCCAACCAAGUUUUUUGAUUUUGAUCAAGGUUUUCGUAUUAGAUUUAAGUAAUUUUUGUAUGGUUAGACUCAUAAGUGAAUGUAUGUUCAUAAUAUGUGAUAUUUCCCCAAUUCCGAGGCGUGGGACUAGGGAAGAUUUUUGGGCAUUUUUCUAUUUUCUUAUCUUAGCCUCGAUUCUUUCAGGUAAAUUUGUUGUUUGUAGUUAUAUUUACAUUAUGAAAUCUAUUUGAUUACAUUUGGGCCACUCAUAGUUGAAUUCUUGUGGCAAGAGCGUUGUUUUAGGUUGAUUUUGAGUUGGUUCAAGAUUAAUGGCUUGCCUAACCUAGUGUGGGGGAACUCCCUUUAGGAUUUUUGGUACUGAUGUUGUAUGAUUGCCGUGUAUGUGAGGUGACGAGUGUGUAUACAUGAGAAUUGUUGAAAAAUCCCAUUUUCUUUAAGUAAAUAUCUAUAUUUUCUUGUAAUUGAGCAAUAAUUGUACUUGAAGCCUCUUGAUUAGUUUAGGAAAAGCAUGCUUAUGUGAUUUAGUUGUCUUACAUGCUUUAAUUGCAUACUUGUACUAUGUGUAACAUGUUAGAGUAGAAUUUCUUUUUUAAAUUUUCGAAUAAAACUGUAAGUUCUUUCUGAGACUCUUGGGUGUUUACUUUGGGACUACAUGUCAAUAUCUCAGGAGACCCCCCUGCGUGUUUAAUUUGGGACUACGGAUUGGUAUUUUGGGAGAUCCCUCUGCUUGUUUAAUUUUGGACUACGGAUCGGUAUUCCGGGAGAUUCCCCUACAUAUUUAUAUUUGGUACUACAGGACGACACCCGAAAGAUUUCCCUGUAUUGGAAAUUUACUUUGGCACUACAGAUUGGUAUUCUAGGAGUUUUCCAUGCAUAUUAAUGAUUCGGACCUCGGGAAGAUAUCCAGGAGAUCCUCUUUACAUUUAUGUUUUGGACUACAGGACGAUAUUCUCGAAGAUUCCCUGUUGCUAUAACUGUGUACAUAGUAUAUUAUGUACGUGAUUUCACUCUUUAUCAACUAUUAGUGUCUUUAAUUAUAUGGUCGCACCUAAUACGAUUUUACUUCAUUUACACACAGACACACACACACACAGACACACACACACCCAUAUAUAUAUAUAUAUAUAUAUAUAUAUAUAUAUAUAUGCCUAUAAGGCCCUGUCCUUCCUCAUCACUACUUAACAAGGUUACGCUCGGCACUUACUGGGUACCAUUAUGGUGUACUCAUGCCCUUUCCUGCACAUAUUUUUCGUGUGCAGAUCCAGAUUCUUCGGGUCAACUAUACUAUCAGUGAAGGGAGGCGAUCUUCAAAGACAAUGAGGUAUAUCUUCAACGUCUGCAUACUGAUGAGUCCCUCUCUAUUCUCUUUUAUCUAUAGAUCUUAUGUACUUUCUUUUGAUUAGACAUUCUGGAGUUAGAACACUAUGAAGUAUCUACAGCUUGUGAUUUCAUGAGAUUCCUGGUUUUGGGAAUUGGUUCAAUUUUAAAAUUGUGUAUCUGUAUAUGCCGAGCAACAUCUCAAACAUUUUUAUUAUGAUUUAUUCGUAGUUUUUUCUAGGUUCGUAUUUCAUUUCCUUUUUCUGCAAUUUGUUCGGCUUACCGAGUCACAAAGACUAGGUGUCAUUAUGAUAGUUGAAAGAGCGGGAACCUGGAUCAUGACAUGCAGAGUUGGACCACACCGUCUUUUGCUAGUGACAUCCAGAGUUUUCUUGGUUUGGCCCGGUAUUAUUUUCGUUUCGUGGAGGGCUUCUCAUCUACUACUGCACCUAUGACCAGAUUGACCUGAUGGGUGCUCCUUUCAAAUGGACCAAGAAGUGUGAGGAAAGCUUUAAGAACUUAAGGUGGCUUUGAAUACAGCUCCAGUGUUGGUGUUGCCUACUGAUUAAGGUCUUAUACUAUGUAUUGCGAUGCGUCACGUAAUAGCCUUGGUGCGGUGUUGAUUCAAGAUUGUAGGGUGGUUGUCUACUCAUCUUGAAAGCUGAAGGCCCAUGAGAAGAAUUGUACACCCCAUGUUUCUGUACAUAAGAGUGCGUUGUAAGUCAAUUUAUAUAAACUAAAAAAUGAGAUUAGCUUUGGAAGUACAUAAAGUAAGUUAAUUUUGUUACUGUGGAGGUUACAAAUAUUAAAGAUCAUGAAUAACAAGUACAAAGAGCGUUGGAAUGUUUAGAAGCUAAACGAAUUGAAGAAAAUAAGUUUUCGUAGAAAGGUGACAAGUUCGGAAUGUUAUAACAUGUACAUUUGGGAUGAUUCUAGGGUGUUCAACGUGAUAAAGGAGCUAUUUUUGAGUUUUUAUUAAUAUGGUAGUCGUGCAUGUUACGACCCAAAUCGAUGGUCUGCGAUGAGCAAUCAGUGCCUUACUUAAUGGAGUACCAAAAUAACGUAUCUUUUAUAUAAAACCAUCAUCGGUAUAUGGGCUGAAAGGGUCGUCGUGAGAUAAUUUACUCAAGGAAAUACUAGAUAUAUGAUGACCCAACAUGACAUAGAAACUAAUACAUGUGACCUAUGGGCCUUUAAGGCUGACAUGAACAUUUGUACACUCAAAAUAUAGGCCAAAAAGGCCAUCCAAGUAUCCAUACACAUGACAUCUAUCUACAUGCCUCUAAGAGUAUAUAAACGUCAUGAAGGUUAGGACAAGGGCCCAACAUACUAAUCAAUACAUGUCCAAUUCAUACUGACCAAAUAGGCAACUUCGGAACAAGUGGAGUGCAUCAACACCUUCAGCUGAGUUUAUAGACUACUAAGAGGACUAUCAACCCAUCUUUCAGUACCUGCGUGCAAGAAAUGCAACAUCCCCAAGAAAAACGAACAUCGGUACAAUAAAGUAUUGAGUAUGUAAGGAAUAAAAAGUACUAUAUAAAAGACAUGAAAGAAUAGGGAGUAAAGUACUCAACCUGUAAGUCUGAAUAGCUUUGUGAAUCAUAAAUCGUUCAUAAUUACAUACAUGUGCAUGUAAUAGUCAUGUCAUGCGUAGAGAAAUGCAUACAUAACAUCAUCAAGCCUCGUAGGACAUUCCAUCAUAUCAUCACGACCUCUCUGGGAAAAAUCAUCAACGUAUACCAACGUAUCAGGUGGUGGUGCAUAUAUAACGUCAUAACCUUUCCCCAUACCUAGUGUACAUAUGAUAUUCCAAUAACGCCAUCUGACCAUGGGUAAAUAUAAAUGUAUAAAUGAAUGAAAUCUAUAAUGAAGUCAGUCAAUAAGAUCUCUCGGAAUGUCUUGGGGUCUAUGAACAGACUAUAUGAUAGUAGUACAUAUAGGAAAUCAAGAACCUAGGCACACCUAGUACUUCUAUAGAUAGAGUUAUUUAUGAAAGUUCCAUAUUUGCUCUUUUAAUUUGUGUCAUAUGGAUUAUGCAACAAGAGAAGGAUGCAUAUCCUAAACAGACCUACAUGAUCUCUUCCUCAUUACUCAACAAAAGCUAAACACAACUUCUUGCAUCUUCAACAAGUGAAAUGAUAUUUUUAAGAUAUAAUGUCGUACCAUCGUAUUUGGCUACUCAUAUGGCUUAACGAAAAUCAGGCAGAAAUUCCUCUAUUUUAAUACAUCCCAAAGACCACUAGGGGACAUCAAUAACCCAGCAAAAAUAACUAUUACAAAGAAUAACAAUAACAACAAUAUAGUCCAAUAUGAGUUUCUCCGAUUAUCUUAACAAUUAUAAUUAGCGGCAUGCUCGUUUUUACUCAUAACAAGAUAUAAAUUGAAUCAAACUCUUACUUUAUAAAUUAGUUUACAACCUUUAGAACAUCAUACUUAUAAUGUACUAUAUUUUUUUCUCGUUCAAAACAUCCACAAAAUGCCUUCUAAAUAGCACCAUAUGUCUAGCACGUUUAUCUUUAUCGUCAACCUCUUGUUUUUUAAUGUUAUCUACUUCAAUACACUGAAUUAGCACAUAGAUAAGCUUAAAAAUAACAUCCAAGACAUAUUCAAACUAUUUAUAACAAUUUCCACCAAAACACAGCAUAUAUAGAGCCACAACACAGCCUACAAAAAAAUACAACAAUUCCUUAUGCCAUAUCAAUUACUAUCUUGUAGAUUUUUACUCAAUCAACACAUGUUUAAACUUAAGCACAACCAAUAACAUUAUUUUUUUAUCUUAGGCAGCACAAAAAACUUGAGAUCCCCAGUUGGUGUAGCUCACAUCAGCCCUCAAUCAUACUGCAACACUACAUGAGUUGUAUUCUCUUCUUAAAUCAACUUUUGUGUUCAAGUUUGGUGUGUAAAUACUUGUAUUUCGCAUUGAAACUCUUAUCGGAAAAUGUUCAAAAGGCCCCUAAACUACUAAUUUAGUAAAUUCUUCUUCUUUUCUUUUUCAGUUUUUUUAAAGAAUAUUUAUUCAUAAAAUUUAAAAAAUUAUAAAAAUAGAAAAAUAAACUUUUUUAAUAAAAUAUUUUCGUUUUUUAAAAACUGAAACAAUCUUUUCAUUUUUGGAAAAUAUUGUUUUUGUUCAUAUUUUUUAUAACACAAAAAUAUGUUUUCAUUUAAAAAAAAUUUAAUAAGGAAAUGAAUGGAAAUGUUUUAAAAAAACUGACAAAAAAAAAUAAAAAAAUUAAAAUGAAAAUAUUUUGUUGACAAUACUUUUUUCACUUAUUUAAAUGAAAAUAUUUUAUUAAAAACAAUGUUUGUUCUGUUUAUACAAUUUCUUUUCCUAUUCUUACCAAAAGAAAUUGCUUUAAAAAUUUAAUAAAGUAAAUUUUUUGUUGUAAAAACUAAAUUAAUUUUUUGUGAAAAGUGAGAAAAGUCUUUACUAAAUUAGUGGACUAUUUGCGCAUUAUUUUUAGAAAACGAAAAUAUUUUACAAAAUAUUUGUUUUUAGUUUUACAAAAAGAAUGAUAAUUAUUUUUAAUUUUGCAUUGACGUAAUGAUCAAAGGACAUAAGUUAACCAAAAAAGUGGAUGGAGGGAUAUUUGCAGCCUAAUAGGUGGAUGAAGGGCAUUUUAAAAUCCUUUCCAAUAGAUUAGGGGAAUUUUGAAUCCUUUUUAAUCUAUAAUAUAUAUAUAUNNNNNNNNNNNNNNNNNNNNNNNNNNNNNNNNNNNNNNNNNNNNNNNNNNNNNNNNNNNNNNNNNNNNNNNNNNNNNNNNNNNNNNNNNNNNNNNNNNNNNNNNNNNNNNNNNNNNNNNNNNNNNNNNNNNNNNNNNNNNNNNNNNNNNNNNNNNNNNNNNNNNNNNNNNNNNNNNNNNNNNNNNNNNNNNNNNNNNNNNNNNNNNNNNNNNNNNNNNNNNNNNNNNNNNNNNNNNNNNNNNNNNNNNNNNNNNNNNNNNNNNNNNNNNNNNNNNNNNNNNNNNNNNNNNNNNNNNNNNNNNNNNNNNNNNNNNNNNNNNNNNNNNNNNNNNNNNNNNNNNNNNNNNNNNNNNNNNNNNNNNNNNNNNNNNNNNNNNNNNNNNNNNNNNNNNNNNNNNNNNNNNNNNNNNNNNNNNNNNNNNNNNNNNNNNNNNNNNNNNNNNNNNNNNNNNNNNNNNNNNNNNNNNNNNNNNNNNNNNNNNNNNNNNAUAUAUAUAUAUAUAUAUAUAUAUAUAUAUAUAUAUUUUUAUAUAUAAUAUAUAUAUAUAUAUAUAUAUAUAUAUAUAUAUAUAUAUAUAUAUAUAUAUAUCUAUAUAUAUCGGGACUGACUAUUAGCUUAAUAAUAAAAAAAACAUGAAAUCUGACGUUACUUACUUUUGAAGAACCCUCCAAAACAACCACCAGAUGAAGAACUACGAUAUAACAAGCACCACAGGAUUUCUAGCGUUGGAUUUAUAUUUUUAUCUUAGGUUUUCACCCGAAAAUCACGGAGGAACCCUUAGAGAGCCUUUAGGAAUUGUUUUGGAAGAGAGAAAUGAGUGAAAACGACAUAUACUCAACUUUAAUACAAGAUUACGUUUUACACCGACUUUGUGGGUCCCAUGGGAGCUGCUUGUGUAGUCUCGCAAAAAUGUGAAUAUAUCUCCACUCAGAUGUCGUAUCAAUAAACGGUUAAAUGAUUUAGCUAGACUCGUAUAUAUUCAAUUUGGUAGGUAGAUAACCUUGUAAUCCCAAGUAUAUUUUGAGGAAAUGUCAGCUGCAAUUGACAUAAUGUUUUGUACAUAUAUGAAUGUAACUUGUGAUCUUUGAAAACUUUUGUUCCACAACUUGCUUGGCUUCAAAACGUAAUACACGACUAUGAUACAACUAAAAUAACUCAUAAAAUAACCUCCAUAUCAUGUUAAUCACCCUAAUAUCACCCUAAAUGUACAUGUUAUAACAUUCCCAACUUGGCGAUGGUCGACAAAAUGUAUUUUUUUCAAUUUGUUUAGCUUCUUAGCCUUUUUACCCUCUUGGAACUGGUUAUCAAAGAUCUUAAGGAUUUUUAAUCUCCAAGGUAAUAUGAUUAUCUUAAUUUAUGUGCUUUCAAAGACGAUCUCAUUUUUGAGCUUACAUCAAUUGUCUUAGGACGUACUCUCACGUAUGAAAACAUAAGAUGUACCAUCAUUCACCCUUUAGAACAUUUGUCCUCUAAUGUUUACUGAUGCACUUAUUAGUCUCAUAGCCUACAUUUCUUACCAAUACUUUAAUAUUUUCCUUUUAAUCUAGGCAUUUGCUUGUUAAUUAAUCUAAAUUUCAGAGAAUUCCCCCUUUUAGUCCUCUUUCUUACACCCCGACAUGUGGUCGGAACUCUUCCAAUCUCACAACUAAUGUUACUUUGUUUAUGUAACCCGUAUGACUCUGACUUUGUAUAUGCUCCUAUGCGAAUCUUCUCUUCUUCUUCCUCUAGCAUUUAGCCAAUCUCUAAGCCUCACUUUGUGAACAUAUACAUAUCAUUGACAAGUUGUCCCUUUAGGUAUCUAUCGGUGUACUGAAGUUUUUCUCUCGGUACUUUGUCAAACUUAUUGCUAUUAAUAUAUCUUGUUUUAUAGCCUCGGUUAUCUAUGCAUAUGUGUUUACUACAACUAAUUAGGUCAUACUGUACCAUAACUCUUACUUCAAUUUAAUAGUAGCGAGGUCUGCUACCUAACCAUAGUUUACUCUCUUGCUGUUUAUCUUAUAUGUAUAAAUCUAAGUCAUUUAAUGCUUCCUUAUUACCGUUCAUCCUAAUAAUCACGACCUACUCUCCUCUCAUACUUUGUAAAUAUUAUCCAUCCAUUAUGGAUUCGACUUAAUGUUUGGUCCAUAAUCUACAAUUGAUAACUUGAAACCUCUUACGUAAUACAUUGUAUCUAUAACUCACGUAGUAUUGGGAAACAUUUAAAGUCAAUCGUAUAAUCCACCAAGGGAUGAUACUAUGUGAUUACAUUGUAUUUCAUAGCAUCCAAUGUGAUUUAUAUUAUGGGGGUCUUCCAAUCUUGUGCAGUUCAUGGAAUCCCUUUUCUUAAAAUCAUUACUCAAUAAAAACCUAAAUGUUAUCCUCUUAUCAACAACCAUUAAAAUCUUAUUCUACUACCAGGGAAGCAUUCUAUCUCUUCUAAUUGCUUCUAGUCUUAGAAUUGUCUGAGUUUAUUCAGGAUGUACCGACCUUUAUAUAUCUUAUGGAAACCGUCAAAUCUGUUGUUUUAAUGGGUUUAAUCCCAAGGACUUACCUAUUCUCAUCACCUUCUCACUCACCUUUUUUUGUUCGUACUCCAAUAUACCUAAUACUCUGUCACUCUGUGAUAAUUUAGCUUGCAACCUACACAUAUCUAUUUAUACUACUUGCAAUCUUUUAACUUUCUAGGACCAUAGAUUUGCUUUCGUACCUUCUUAGAUUUCUUUAAAUGUAUGUAAUUACUUUACCUGAUAAUUUAGCCACUUGUUGCACGAAUACUUGGCUUAUUUUAUUCCCCACUAAUAUUUAAAUUUCAUGUAAUUCAUAUUAUCUAAAGUAUCACUUUUGGCUUCCCGUUCAUUAGUCACGAUAGGUGCCAUUUUCUUAUGGAGUACAUACAAUAUUGUUGUAAGACUAUUCUUACAAGAUCAUUUCUUUUGCAAGUUACGAUGAUUAGGUUGAGGUCUUCUUCCUUAUUUCCUCAACUAUCCUUUCAUUGUAGUACUUAUGGGAGAUUUUCUGACUCUUGUAAAGCUGCAAACUAAUUACAUCAUAUACUCGUCUAAAUUUUUUAUUGUCUUCUAUGCAUAUAAAUAUCCUUAGUUACUUUUCUCCAUUCUCUUGUUCUCGUAGGGUUACUUUUAAAUUGAUAUUUGAUUGUCUCCCUAGUGACACUCUCUCUUAUUUUCAUAAAACAUAAGCGGUACCUUUAACUACCCCUAAUCAUAUCUAAAAGGACUGCGAGACAAAAUUACCUAUACUUAAAAUCACUAUAUUUAUCUUACAUGAUCUGUUGAUUAAUUAUGGCCUCUUGUCUAGCCAUAGUUAGACUUUUCCCGAAUCAAUUACAGACUAGUCGUUGUCCAUUCUCAUAUUUAUAUUCUGCAUAACACCUCUUCGGUUAUGGACUUUGGCUUAACUUACCUCUCACAGUGUCUCCUUGUGUAUCAAGUGCUCAUUCGCAAUUAUUUAUCAAUAACAUAUUGUGCACGAACCCUUACUCCGUCUCUCAAUGUCUUGCUUGCAUAAUUUUCUGAAGUCAAAACAUAUCUAUAGGAUUUGAAUAAAUGCAAUCUCAUUCUUUUGAGUUUUUACUGCAUUCUUCCUUUGCCAUUCAAUAGUUACUUGAACCACUUAACUCUGACUUAAUACACACAUCACAUAAUAUUCCGACCUUUAGGGCAGUACUAAGAUUUAGUGCUACAAAGAUCUACCUAUUGAUGUUUUACUCUUCAUCUUUGGCGUCUUUUCGCAUCAUCAAUGACCCUUACUCGAUUUAUGGUAACCUUGUUGUACCAAGAAUAACAGAAUUUCUUAUACACUAUGGUGACACCUAGUGUAACUAGCACACUCAGUCCCUUAAUCUUAACUCUGCUAACAGUGCUUGCUUUUGGGAAGCAUCUUCCUGAAUGAACUUUAAAGGUUAUUCUUCUGUUGUCCAACUAUUAUUUCCCUAACGCAAUAUCUGAAAUUCUCACGAUGCGACUAUUAUCAAAUAAUUUGGUCCCUAAUUCAUGUUUAUUUUAUCUUGUUAACUAGCCCAUACUGACUUCUAUUACUCCAGGGAUGUAAUUUUUGUUCUGGUAAUAACGUCGAACUCGCCAACACAUUUCUGAAAUAAGGAUAUGAAAUUUUUGCCUAUACUCGUUUAUGAUCAAAAGGCCUGUCAGUUUUUGUAUUUUCUUUUACUUGACUAUCGACUCUUUUAUAAUAUCAUAUUUUCAUUUCGUGUUAUCACUAAUUUAUCACAUUACUCAUAAUACUUUUUUACGCUCUUCUUAUUUUUCUACAAUAUCUUCGUCUAUUACCUUAUUCCAAAAACUUUAAAUAUUCUUUCGCUUUUAGCUUCCCUUCCUCUAUCCACUAGCUCAGUGGGUCACCUACAAUUCUCUCUUUAGAAGGGACGGGAGCCAUACAAAGAUACAGAUUUAUCCCUUCUAAGAUUCCAGUGCCAAUCUUCUAAGUAUUUCUGGACAUUUUAGUAUUCAUAUCUAAAUGUACUAUUCUAGAGUACACCAUAUGGGUGUCUCUCAAGGAGAACUAUUUCCAUGUUUUGAAUUAUCCUUCGGAAUGAUAGCUAAUGAUAACAAUCCACAAUCUAAGGUUACUCUAGCCCCAAAUGGAUCUUGAUAUCCCAUCCUUCUCUUAAAAUAUAGCUAUUAGCUUCCAUAUUGAAUAAUUAAGAUGAGUGUGGCCAAUUGUAUAUAUAUCUCUGUUACUAUUGAAACUAACUCAAAAUGCUUAUGUUUCUCACUCUAAAUUGUAAAUAUCGAUAAUCUUCACUAACUGGGUACCUCAUACCCUUCUUCACCAUGCUUCUUUUACUUGUUGAAAUUGAUAGCUACCUUCUCAUUCUCUCGUUACUUUUUAAACCAUAUGGGAAGAUAGUUAUUCAUAGCUUAGGGAUCUUUAUCAAGAAGCUUACACAUAUUAGUACACACAUAAUCUACCAAAGACCUUACAUUAACUCAUGAUUAGCAUGAUGCAAAAUCAAGUUUCUCAAAACAACUCUUCCAUAGCCACACUCAAUCUCUUACCAUCCGUCUUUAUAGAUGUAGGUAUCGUUGUAUUAUGAAUAAAGUAGAAUUUAGGAUUCUGAAUUCUUACAAAUGAGAUCUACUUUACAAUCUAGAGUAAGAAGAAAGAGUGACAAUCCUAAAUUUUCUGUAGGCUCGUGCUUAUAAGUGUUGUUCGCAACACACCCAUGAAAAACACUCUACUAAACACGUCUUGUAUAUUCUGUAGGAUAGAACUGCUCUGAUACCACUUUCGUGGCAACCCAAACCGAUGGGCCACGAUAGGUAGCUGGUGCUUUACCUAAAAGAGUACCAACAUAACAUAUUUUUCUUAUCACAUGACCAUGGAUAAAAGGGCCAGAAGGGUCAAUAUCACAUAACUAGAUUAAAACAAAAGGGAAUACUAGAUAUAGAACGACCCAACAUGAUAUAGAAACUUAUACAUUUGACACAUGGGCUUAUAAGGCCGACAUGAACAUUUGUACACUAAAAAAUAGGCCGAAAAAGCAUUCAAGUAUCCAUACAUAUGAAAUCUAUCUACAAGACUUUAAGAGUACAUAAACGUCAUAAAGAUUUGGACAAGGCCCCGACAGACCAAUCAAUACUUGUCCAAAUCAUACUGAUCAAAUAGGCAACAACGGAGCAAGUGGUGUGCACCAACACUUUCAAGUGAGCUUCUUGCCUACUACGAGUAUUUUCAACCUGUCAUUCAUGACCUGUGGACAUGAAACCCAUGAACAGAUAAUAUGAUAGUAGGACACAUAGGGUAUCAAGAUCAUAGGCACACCUAGUACUUCUAUGAAUAAAGUCAUUUGUGAAAGUUCUACGUUUGCUCAUUUCAUUUGAGUCAUAUGGAUUAUGCAAAAAAGGAAGAAGGAAUAGCCUUAACAUACGUAUAUGUUCUAUUCCUUUUCACUCACUCCACCAAGAUAAACACAACUUUUUGCAUCUACUACAAGUGAAAUGAUAUUGCCGUUAAUAUAUAAUGUCGUACCAUUGUAUUUAUUUAAUCGUAUGACUUAAGGAAAAUCGGGCAGAAACUACCCUAUUUUAAAAUAUCCCAAACACCACUAAGGGUCAUCUACAAUCCAACAACAAUGAUAACCAACAAUAGCCACAACAACAAUAUAAUACAAUAUGAGUUUCUCUCAUUAUCAUAAUAAUCAUUUAGAUCAAUAAGCUCGUUUUUACUAAUAAUAAGAUAUAAAUUGAAUCCAGCUCUUAUUACAUACAUUAUUUUAAAACCUUAAGAAUAUCAUACUUAUAUGUACUAUAUUAUUUCUAGUUUAAAAAUCCACAAAACACCUUCCAAAAUAGCCUCAUACGUCUAGCACCUUAAUCUUAUCAUUUACCUGUUAUUUUUCAUGUUAUCUUCUUCAAUCCACUAAAUUAACACAUGGAUAAGCUUAACAAAUGCAUCCAUUUCAUAAAAACUAUUUAUUAUAACUUUCACCGACAACACACCAUAUUUAUAGCCUCAACACAGCCCAUAAAAAAGGAUAACGAUUGCUUAUGGCAUGUCAAUUACUAUCUUAUACUUUUUCACUCAAAAAACUCAACCAACACAUCAUUAACCUCAACAACAACCAAGAACAUGAUUUACGUACCUUAGGCAGUAGAUAUAAUUUGAAAUCCUAGCUGGUGUAGCUCACAACAAUCCUCAAUCAGACCACAACACUUUAGGAGUUGUAUUCUCUUCUUGCAUCAACUUUGUGUUCAAGCUGGUGUGUAAACACUUGUAUUUUGCGUUUAAAAUCUAACAGAUAUGAACGAGGUACUGAUUAUUAUCUUAACCAUAAAUAAUAACACGAAAUCUAAGGUUAGUUAUCUUAGAAGAACACUCCAAAACAACCAAAAGAUGAAGAACUACGAUCUAGCAAGCACCACGGGAAAUCUAGCUUUGGAUUCAUGUUUUUAUCUUAGGUUUUCACCCUAGAAUCAUGGAGGAAUACUUGGAGAUAUUUUAGGAGGGUUUAGGAACUGAUUUGGAACAUAGAAAUAAGGUAAAAUGACAUAAAAAUCGACUUAAAUAAAAGUUGACAUUUUACACAACCUUUGUGGGUCCCAUAGAAGUUGCUUCCGCAGUCCAACAAAACUGCGAUUAUAUCUCUACUUCGAUGUCGUAUUGAUGAAUUAUUAAAAUACUUAGAAACUAGACUCACAUAUAUUUAAUUUCGUAUGUAGAUAAUCCCGUAAUUUCAGGAUAAUUGGAGACAAUGUCAGCUACAAUUGAUAAAAUGUUUUGCACAUUUAUGUUAUGAGUUAUGAAUGUUCCACAACUCACUUGACUUCAAACCGUAAUACGCGGCUAUGAUACAACAAAAAUAACUCAUAACAUAGCCUCCAUAUAAUGUUUAGUCCCUAGUAUAACCCCAAAUGUAUAUUUUAUAACAUUCCCAACUUGUCGACACUCGACGAAACUUAUUUUCUUCAAUAUUUUUUGCUUUUAAGCCUUUCAACCCUCUUGGUAUUGGUUAUCCAUGAUAUUAUAGUUAUUUAAUCUCUAAGGUAACAUGAUUACCUUACAUUAUAUACUUUCAAAGAUGAUCUCAUUUAUGAGAUUACAUCAAUUGACUUAGGACGUACUGUCACGUACGAAGAUAUGGAAUGUAAUGUCAUUCCCCCUUUUAAAACGUUCAUCCUCGAAUCUUGAGCAAUGCGAAUAUCACUAUCAUUACCUAUACUUAAAAAUACCUUAAUAUUGUCGUUUCCAUAUAGGCUUGCUCUGUUAAUAAAUCCAUCGGCUGGGGAAUUCUCACCUUUAGGCCUCUUUCUCAUACCCCGACCUGUGGUCAAAAUUCUUCCAAUAUCUUAACUAAUGCUACCUUAUUUCAUGUAACCCGUAUGAAUCUUACUGUGUCUGUGCACCUAUGAAACUCCUAUCCUUUUUUCUUCCAGCUUUUAGCCAAUCUCUAGGCCUCAAUUUGUGAACAUAUACAGAUAUAUGACUAGCAAUCCUUUUGGGUAUCUACAGGUGAACUGAGGUUUUACUCUCGGUACUUUUUCGAACUUAUGGCUUUUCAUAUAUCUUUUUUAAUAGCCUCAAUUAUCAAUACAUAUGGAUUUAUAACAACUAGGUAGGUCAUACUAUACCAUAACUCUUAUUUUGGUUUAUUAUUACCGAGGUCUGCUACUAAACUCUAGUCAACUCUCUCUAUCAUGACCCAAAAACUUACCCGGUCGUGAUGGCGCCUAACAUGAAAUUAGGUCAGCUAACACAAACCCCAAAACCAAUCAGAUUCCAUAAUAAGUCAUUUUAAUCCACUAAUUUGAUAAAAUCCCAUAACAUAAGUAAGAAUAAGCAUUGCGAAAAUAUAACACAAGUCCGACAUCAGGGUGUCACUAGUCAUGAGCAACUACAACUCAAUUAGGAACAAGAAAGGACAACAUAGUCUGAAAGUAAAAAUACUAAGAUAAUCCAAGUAAGAUAAAAAGGAGAAGCACAUGGCUGCGAACACCAAUCAACUACCUAGUAAACUCCAGAGACCUACUAGGAGACUGAUCAACAAUUAUUAUUGCACCCCGAAACUCUUGGAUCUUUGCACAAGGUGCAUGGAGUAAUGUGAGUACGCCAACUCAGUGAGUAAUAGAAAUAAAAGCAGUUGAGUAGUAAGAAAGUAGGUAAUUACAGGUCAUAGCACUACAUCAAAAUAUUAUGUGUCCAGAGAAAUACAGUAAAUCAAUUAACUCGUAAAAACAAAUUAGUUCAGUAAAUCCCUUUUUAAAUCGUCUUUCAAUAGUUUCAAACGAGUGAUAAAAAUAGUGAGUACAAGGAUAGAAACGUAAACAGCCCAUGGGGCAAAACAUAUUCCUUAAAAUAGCCCUUGGGCAAAAUAUCAGCAGAACUAGCCCCUCUGGCAAAAUAUCAGCAGAAGCAACCCCUCGAUUUACCUCACAAUCACUCAUAAUCACCUACUCAGGCAUAACAUUAAUCAAGAACUGCCCCAUGGGGUAAACGUGGAUGAAGAACAGCCCCUCGAGCAAUAAUUUAAUCAACAACAGCCCCUCGGGAUACAUAAUAUCAAUGUUAUUGGGUACCCGCAUUCGCUGGGGGUUUUCAGACUCCGGAGGGCUCUAAUAGCCCAAGUGCUAUAACAAGCCCUCUCGUGGCGUAAUAAAUUGGGCCCUUGGCCUCACAUAUAUGCCAAAUCAGUAAAAUAUGCUGUGACACACAGCUCGAUCCCAUGAUAUCCUCAUAACACAAGCCCUCGACCUUACUCAUAUAGAACUCACACAAGCUACUCAAGCUAACACUAAAACAAGUACUAUGCUUACAAUAUCAUUUAUAAAAUCAAAAGGAGUAGUUAAAAACGAAUUAUAAAAUCAGUGAAAGCAAAACAUGACAGAGUGUAAAUCGUAAAUAAAAAAUAGUGAGGAAAUUGUAGUAAUCAACCCCUAAGGGUCCAAAUAGUUGGCACAAGGCCCAAAUUUGUCGUCUAGCCCAAAACGUAGUAAUGCUUUUCGAAACACAACAAUAUCAAAUACUUUUCAAUUAAAUACGUGAAAUAAUAGUCGUACGAGACGGACCAAGCUACAAUCCCCAAUGGUGAACGACCCCACGUUCGUCAUCUAGCAUGUGCAUCACCUCAAAAUAGUGAAACAAUGUAUAUUGGGGAUUUCAUACCCUCGGGACAACAUUUACAAUCAUUACCUACACCGGUACUAACUCUAGCCCGUGACACCUUAGCUUUUCAAAUCGGCCUCACUUACCCCACAUGCGGUCUCGUAGAUGCGCUUUCUAGUCAUAUAGCUCAUGGACACAUAUGUUACUGCUCUAUCGCUUCUGCUAUCUGGCACCUGCAGUCCCCUAUCCGCAGGUGGUUAUGGCAGGAACUCAGCAGCUUCUGCUGCAAACUCUAACUUCCAACUCCUCGACAACCAUCCGAAAUCAUCCUGAAGCCCCCACGACCUCAACCAAAAGUACGAAUAAGUCAUAUACCACUAUUCCAACUUAUACCAAUCUCUUGAAAACAUAAAACAACAUCGAAUCAUCAAAACACCCUCGGAUUCAAGCCUAAGGUUUCCAAAAUUUACGAAUUCCUCUAUUUAUCAAAAACUCUAUCAAACCUCGUCCGAAUUAUCUGUAAAUUUGCACCCAUAUCACAGAUGACACAAAGGACCUACUCCAAUUUUCGGAAGUUCCAUUCCAACCCCAAUGUCAAAAUUUCCGCUACCAACUAAAAACACUAAAAUUCAAAUUUUGCCAAUUCAGGCCUAAAUCUAUCACAUGCCUCCAAAAUACAUUCCGAUCAUGCUCAUAAGUCCCAAAUCACCUAACGGAGCUAACCAAAUAAUAAAUCCAAAUCUGAGAUCAAAUACUAAAAAGUUAAUACUGAGUCAAACCUUUCAAAUUUAAAGCUUCAGGUUGAGAAUCAUCCUUCCAUAUCUAUUCCAAUUAACCUGAAAACUAAAAUUGGUGAUUUACAUAAGUCAUACUACGUCAUACAAGGCUAGUCGUGUUUGAGAGCUGGCGAGAAAAUUAAAAAUGCUCAAAACGACUAGUCGUGUCAUUAUAUCCUCCCCACUUAAACAUACGUUCGUCCUCGAACGUGCCUAAAGUUGUUCCAAAAACCUAUCAAUCACUGUAUAAUCUUACCAUGCCUCUACCCGGGGUUGAUACCACGUCACCCUGACCCAUACAGUUCAUAUAAUGCAACAUGACUUGAAUUUCACAAUCCAACCAAGCCUAUGAACCUUAUAACCAAAUUUCCCCUUUCAAAAUUAUCCAUAAGAUCAGAACCUCGUAUGUAUAUGCUGAAUAAGUCUGAACACACUCUAUCCAGACAUAACUACAGUUCAAGAUGAAAUCACAUCAUAUACCACACAACUCAAACUUUCAUAAAGAUAACGUCUGCUCAUAACAACUACUCACAACAACACAAUACCGGUAAUAAACCUCUUAUUACACAAAACACCAUUCCCACACUUUCGUAUACUGUCAAUGAUGAAAGAAACUUGCAGAAAGUCAUAACUAUUCCUGAGAUAAACAAGUCAUGAAUCUCCCUACUCCCUUGUCAAGGAAAAUAGUAAAUUUCUAAGCCGAAUCCCGAUAUUAUUGUUCCAACUUGCUGAAAUCAAGUCCGAUAGUACUCAUUUUAGUAUAAAUGGCCUCAUUUCAUCCAACACGACUACUUUAUUGACAUGACACAUCAAUAUAGUCUAGAUCCAUAACCCGUGCGACCCGCGCACCAAUAAGCAACAGUCCAAAUGCACUCAAAUAUUGAAAUAAUGACUCGAAUGAGAGAGCUAUACCGCAAGCUAGCCACUAUCCCUACAACAAAAUGCUGAGAACUCAUCACACAUCUUAGAACUCGAACAUACAAAUCUAACCGGAAGGAUCAUACCUCCACAUAACCUUGCUGCGGUGCAACCCUAUCCAAACACUGAUCCACAUGAAAGAUCGGGAGGACCAAUUUCUCGGUCCUUGCAUCUCUCCCUUAGCCUAAAAAAGGACCCAAAGAUUUGGGAACGCGCUUUGUUGCUUUGACCAUGAAGGAUUUUUCACACUCGACCUCAACGUAGCAUGAGUAAAUGGUUAUCGAUGGUAAGCAUGAAGUUCCCUAGGCAUAUGGUCUGAACUUGCAUCACUUGCAAGGGUAGUACCAGUUUGCGCUAGAUUGCGAGGUAGCCACGCCAAAUACUUUAUUUUUUAAUAAAUGCUUUGUACGAUGUUUGGGUUCUCCUUAAUAUAUAAAGGGGACCCUUGUCAUUUUGCAUAGGGAUUUGUGUCCGUAUAUUAAAUGCACAAAAUAUUAUCUCAACUCGCUAACAUAUUCUCUUAAUCUCAUUACCUCAAUUUAUUACUAGUAUUCGUUAUUUUAAUUGUGUUCUGUUAUAUUGUUCAUCAUUUAUUGCUUAUUAUUGGCCAUAAAGAGACAUCAUUGAUAUUAUCAUAACUCUUAGUCACCUAUUGAGUAUCCUCGAUGAGACAUCAGACUUGACCCCGAAGCUCCGAACAGGCAGGCUCAAGUCCCCAAUCCCGAACUGUUUGGUUCGAUUACCAUACCGUCUCCAAGUUGUAAUAUUGAUUUCUAACCCUUUACUAAGCAUCUAUUGCCUAAUAAACUAGGAUAAAAAUCGAUCAAAUUUAAUUUUUAUUACAAUUUUCACGUUAAACAGUUUGGCACCCAAAUGGAGCUAAACAUAAUAAUGAUUAUUUUCUUGAUGGUUCACUCCAUAACAAAAGUUAUUUUUCACGCUGUUUCUUGUACAAUUUCUAACGCUUUUUCUUGCUUAAUAGUGAUUAUUUUUCUUGAGAACCAUGGAGAGAAUGUUGUGGAUGUUCAAGGUGUUGGUGUACCACGACGAAACCCUGAGAACGUGCCAUUACAAAUUCAUGUGGAUACGAUAUCACGCGAGGCCCUACACAUCAAUAUAAGAUCCCACACUAACAUGAGAGUGAACUAAGGAGGAAAAAAAGAAGCUCAUUAAACCCCAAAUAGGGAAGAAGGGGAGGUUAAACUUCAUGUUAUUUUUGAAAUAUUACCAACACAACAUCUAGCUAUUGCUCCAGUGUCAGUCAUCAAAAAACUCCUAGUUCGAUAGCACCAUGGACAGUCUCCCCAACCGAGCAUGUACCGGAAAGAAAAAGCAACAAUGGGUUGGAAGCCGACCAUGACAUCAUAAAGAUUCUCCAUACCUAACAAAGAAUAUCGAGUUGGGAGACGAAAAUAUAGAAGCCAAUAACAAGAAGAUUGUGACCCAUAAUUCUAGGGUCGAUCAAAUUAUAGGUGCACCCCCGAUAUUAAAAGGUGUAGAUUCGAAGAAGUUUGUGCAAAAGUCAUUCCCGUAGGAAGCUUCCGAUUAACCCAUUCCUAAGAAGUUCAGGAUGCCCAAGCUUCUGAUGUACAAUGGAACCUCGAACCCCGACGAGCACGUCAUUGCCUACACAUGUGUAGUGAAAGGCAACGACCUAAGGGGCGACGAGAUCGAGUCCGUCCUGCUAAACAAGUUUGGGGAAACACUCUCGAAAGGGGCCAUGAUGUGGUAUCACAGCCUAGAUCCUAACACUAUAGACUCAUUUUCCAUGCUGGAAGAUUUUUUCAUAAAGGAACAUGCCGGGGCCAUCAAGGUGGCAACAAUGAAAUUGACGUCUUUAAAAUUAAGCAAAGGGAAAAUGAGAUGUUGUGAGAGUUCGUGUCUCGCUAUCAAAUGGAAAUAAUGUAACUACCACGAGUCUCUGACAACUGGGCAAUGCAGUCCUUUACCCAUUGUUUGAACAAACGAAGCCGCAGGGUUCGAAACAACUGAAGAGAAACCUAGUUGAGUAUCCUUCUUAGGAGCCCCCUAGGGCUUGGUAUAUCCUAACAAACGUCCGAUAAUUGAGUCAAAUCAAAAUAAUGAGACAUACUACCUUACACAAAAUAUAGAAGAAACUUCGUGAGGCGUAACAAACCCCGCAAUUACUGAAUAAUGGAUCGAGACUAGCAUCCUCGGGGACUUGUUAGCAAAGUCGAUUUUUUUACGUACAUAGGGGUGAUGGAGGUACCUCGCUUGUUAGAGUACAACUUAAAUUUUGAUGUUUCGGACAUCGUAUUCACCAUAGGUAAAAUUGGAGACACUAGGUGGCCGUGGGCGGUGUAGAGAGACCCUUGACAAAGGAACCAUAACUUAGUGUGGAAAUUUAAUAACAUGCAGGGUUACCAGACUGAAGAAUUCCGACAACUCCGGGAAGGAGUGGCCCCAUUACUCAGCAAAGGUAACCUCCGAGAAUUCCUCAAUAACCGAGAAAACAAUUGAUUCCAGGAAAGAGAGGAGACCAAGAAAAAUAAAAUAAAUAAGCUGCAACAUGUCAUCCAUAUGAUCUUGAGAUGUAUUGAUGCUCUACAGGAGCCCAUGAUCAAGAAGAACAAAAAAGUCCAUCACCAGAUAAAAGUGAACUCGGGGUUACGUACCCGAGAAUGCUCUCACAUUCAGCGACAAAGACAUCGAGACCUUGUCUUAGCCUCACAAUGAUGCACUGGUAAUCUCUUUCCUUUUACAUACUUUUCAAAUUAAACGUGUGCUUGUGGAUCUAGGUAGCUCGCCCAAUAUUAUCAGGUGGAAGGUGGUAGAGAAACUCACACUGCUUGACCAAAUCAUUCCCGCACCUCGAGUCCGCGAUGGAUUCAUAAUGGUAAGUGAAACAACGAAAGGGGAAAUCACCCUCCCUCCCAGUUAACGUGGUUGGCACAACCCAAGAUGCAAAAUUCCAUGUCAUCAAUGGAGAUAUGAGGUACAAUGCCUUGCUCGAAAGGCCAUGGAUACACUAGAUCACAGUAGUACCAUCCACCCUUUAUCAAAUGAUGAAAGACCCGACAAAGGAUGAGAUAAAAAUCAUCCAUAGGGAGCAACAUGCAACAAAAGGAAAUGUUCGCGGUGCAUGAAGUGACACAGACACCACUACCUCUACAAUCGAAGGAGCCAAAAGAUAAGGGAACAGUAAAAAAAUAAAAACAACAAGUUGUACUCUCGGCAAAGCCAGAUCGAGUAAAGCAGACGAUCAUAUCGCGACCUCACAAGUAAUGAUUGAAACAUACAAGGGGCUGAAGCGCCGUCAUGAGUAAAGUACGAUCAUCUACUUUUUUCAAUGCAAUUCAUACUAAUCUGAGGGUAGGUAUCCGAUCAAAAUAGUUGAUGUGCUUUCCAACUCGAAGGCCUUAGGUUUUAAAAGCAUGGGUUGGACUCAUUUCCUUUAAUUGCGUUUUUAUUCCAAGAAGGGAUUUACCGGCAAGGUUGUUUACGAGGCAACACCUAUAUGCUACCUAAGGAAGACUGAACAAGUAUUCAAGCUUUCCUUUUCAAUCAACCUCAAAUACUUAAGGCAUCCUCGGAUCAUGCUGAAAGGGGUCACGAUAGGAAGGUAAUGUACCCGACCAAAUGAUCGAACGAAUCGUGUCUGUGUAGAAUAACCAAGCCCUUAAUAGAGAAAAAUUGUAUACUUGUGCCAUCUAAUCAAAGAAUACUUUCCAAAAGUAUUUCAUGUUUCAAUGAAGCUCGGUAUUAUUGCAAAAAAUGGCUCUGGAGCCAAAAACGCCUUGAACACUCGGGGGCUGGUGUCAGCAACUCGAAACAAUAAGACCCCCGAGUCGGAGCUUCAAACUAUGAUGCCCUCAAUGAGGGAAAAAUAGCUCUAGAGACAAAAACGCCGCGAACAACUAGCAUCGAAAACUCAAAGCCACAUGACCUCCGGGUUGGACACUCCAAAAUUGUAAGUCCUCGCAAUACUAAGUUUACUAGUAAUGGCUCUAGGGCCAAGAAAUCCUCGAUGACUCGGGGACUGCCGUCAUAAUCGCUAUCUCCAUUGACUUAUCAAAAAUCCGACGCCAUAAGAUGCCAAAUGGGUAGACUCGGUGUCAUAAUACCAAUAUAAGGAAAUUCCAAUAUCUGUAAGACCUCAAGCAAUGCAUGAACCAUAGUUGUACCAAGUGAAAAUAUCUGUAAGAUCUCAAGUAAGGCAUGAACCAUACUUUUUCCUAGUAUCAAAAACUGUAAGACCUUAAAAGCAUGUAUAACUUGUAAGACCUUACUAAUGGAAUUAUCUCGAUCUUAAAGUCAAGGCAAUAUAUCGAACUUGUAAGACCUCAGAAAAGGCAUACCCUCGAUAUAGACGCUGAAACUACUUCACUCGGGGACCGAAAGACUCAGGCCAAAACACAAAUGACUACGGUCAUAACGUUGUACUGGCUAAACUAACACGACUAGGGGACGCUCGAGCGUCGCUAUAAAAUCAAAGGUCUUCAAUUAUUACCAAUAAACUUCAAAAAGAACCGGUUAAACAGGAUACCCUUGACAUAGGAAAAAGAGCUUCGACCAUGUUUGCUCCUUACUACAAGCUUCGAGAUACUCAGCCACCAUGCUAAACCUCUCAAGGAGUUUGAUGAUUUCCAUAUAACGGCUCAUAAUUAAUUUUUUAUCAAACCGUUGAAGAUGCGGGCAAACAAAAUUUCAAAAUGUCCUUAACAAGGGAAACAUAAAGCCUAUAUUAGAGGUCGCAUCGACCCAAAGCGUAAGAGAAACUGAUGCUAGAUCAUAUGAAAGGUCGUACUGACCCAAAGCAUAAGAGCCAUUAACUCUCGCUUAUAUAAAAGGUCGUACUCACCCAAAACGUACGUGCCACUAAUGCCAUCUCAUAUAAAAUGUGAUACCGACCCAAAGCGUAAGAACCACUAUCGCCAAUCCAUACUAAAGGUCAGAUCGACCCAAUGCGUAAGAGCCCAAGGUCAAAUUUUAAAUUCAAAAACUUGAGGGUCAAAUAAGCUCAAGCCAGAAUCCAACCCGGAGACUUAACCCAAAACAGUUAGUUAAAUAUCCCUGAGAGCAAUAGCAUAAGAGUUGGGUCUAGUCCGAGAACACUUGGGGACUCACCAUCGACCAUUAUGAGUCACUCAACAAUAGCAAAAAAUCGAGGGUCUAACCCAAGAUCUAAAGCCUCAGGUUGAUUAUAAAAAAAAUACACAUUAUUCCCAAAGUCAAAGGGGAAAAGAAGUGAUAAAAAGCAAAAGACAUUUAUACAUAUUGCUCACAAAGGCACGAUUACAAGACCUUUAAAACCCUGACAAAGAAAGAGCCAAAACCUUAAUAUAUCAUCGAGCCUAAUCUUCAACGACUCUGCUAGAAGUUGUGCCCCAACAGUUGCAGCUACAGCUCCAGUUCCUUCAACGACCUCUUCCCCUCUAGGGACAUCGCCUUCAUUCUUACCAUCUCUUAAGCUACUACUCGCCGCACCUUCGGAAGCAAACAUGGAUGCACCCUCCUUUUCUAGGGUCUUCACUCUCUAGAGCUUGGAUGAAAAAUUGAUAACACCAGCUUGUAUAUCCUAGGGAAUCUGCCUCCAAGAUUCUAAUCGAGCAUGCUCCAUAACUCGAGUCAAUUUCAUUUUGGCCUCCUCAGGUGCUCUCCCAGCUUGAGCGUUUAUCACAACUGCAUCCUCUUUGUGUAGUGAUAUAAGCGCCUCAGCUUCAGUUUUGAUCUAAGAUAGUGCAGUUAUAUUUACGGGAAAAAUGGUAAUAGCAAUUAAAUUUUAUAUUGGACAAAAAAAUACGUGAUCUAUUUAUAUGCUAGUUGUUAUGCAGUUGAUGCUAUGUGAAAGACUCAGAAACGAGGUAAGAGUUUUAGAGUAAGGUGAUAACCAAACCAAAAGGUUGGCAAUCGGGGCCUCGGGCUCGUCGAUAUUGGGGCCUUGAACUCAAUUUUGACACUCGGCUGGGAGCUAUUGAGGGCGAUUAAUGUAUGAAAAAUAGUUAUGAUAAAAUCAAGGGUUGCUGUUUAUGGCCAAUAGUAAGCAAUAAAUGAAGAACUAUAAACGAAGAUAAUAAAUGGAAGCAAUAAUAUUAAGAUAAUGUGUUAGAGAGCAGAGACAAUGUUCUUGUAUAUUUAGUAUGGAGCUACAUAUGUUUACAAAAUUACAAGGAUCCCUUUAUAUAUACAUUGGGAGGGGAUCCCAAUAUAGUACAAAUGGCACUAAUAAAAAAGAUAUAGAGAUGGGACAACUAGUUGACUCCCUGUCUCUGGUCUAGGCCUAGUCUUAAAGACUUUGUCGGCUCUAGCUGAAUGCCUUGGGAACUCCCCACUUUUACCAUAGCCAUGGUCAGUACUGCCCCAAAGCCGAGCGUCAGCGAACCUCGACGGAGAAGGCUCGACCGUAGCCUCGAGCCUUUGAGAUAAUCUUUUAUAGUGCUUUGAUAAUGAGGAAUUAGACCCUCCUAUUUCAUCAUAUUGAAGUUAUUAACUUAGAAUGGAGAUUUAUAUACUUGUCACUAUCUGUCGUUGUAUCAUGAAGCCGGUGCCUAACUAAAGCCAUUCUUUCCUGGAGGGUAUCCCUAUCAAAAGUUAUCUCUCUCGCGUGUCGUUUCAGUUUGAAAAUUUCUGAGUAUUUGUUGUGGAGUUCCUCCCUCAGUAGGGCACUUCUCAAAUUGCACGAUUUGGAGAUAAGACAUAAAACAUCGAGAUGUGGCAAACAUUAAGACAAUAGAAAAUUAAAACAAGGAAACCUAUUAAACAAUAUGAGUCUUCCCGCGUUCAUGACGGGCUACCUCAACAUGAAACUAGCCAAAACUCUUAUCAUAAAGCACCUUGUCCUAAAGACACAAAAAAGACAAGAUAAAAAGAUAAAGAUCAGGAUGACAUGCCUUUCAAAUGCAUCUCUACCUCCGAUGGGUACCCUCAUAUUGGUAGAUUUUUCCCUCUAGGUGUCUUGUGUUCCCUUAGGAGGUAAGGUCGUUCCCUAAGGGAACUCAGUCAUGAUAAUAAUACUAACAAGGUCAAUCAAGGCUGUCUGUUGUCCCUACAGGGUUUCAAAAUUUGUUUACUUCGAACCACCUACCGAUUGAGUCUCAGCUCGUGGAAUAUAUUGGCCAUCAUACGGCUUAGAGAACAUCACCAACACUUCCUCAGUGGCCUCUCCAGCUUGAUGUUUGACCAUGGCGACGUCAACCUCUGGCUCGGGAGUUACCUUUCCUCUGGUGUGAGGAUUGAUCAAGUUUGUCUCUCCCUCGGAUGCUGUCGAGAAAUUUUUUUCUCCCGCGCGUUCAACUUGGAGACUUCCCACUACUUUUGGAGUUGAGGCUGCUAGAUCAUCCUUAGUUUCUUCCACCUUCGUUUUGUUUGAUUCCAAAGGUUCGUUCGAUGGUCCCCUUUAUCUUUUCAUAUCUUCGUCAUCUAUAGGUAUGCAUAGGAAGUACGGACACUAUCAAUACCAACUCAGUGUAAAAGGUACGAAUGCAGUAGAAGUAAAGGCUCACCAUGAUCCUUGGCUUCCCAUCGCACUUGGGAUAGGUCACACCACACUCGCUUAAAGUAUGGGCAAUCGAGUCCAGCCAACUAACCUAGAUCAAGAGGUUCGUAACCGCACCAGGGUAAACUGCUACGGCUGCAUCAGCAAACUAAAUUAGCACAUGGAAAGAUGUACCUAAAAAGAAGCAAGGAGAUGCUCGAUAACGUAUCUACUUACGUUCCAUGUUCCACCUUUUAGGGAAUGACAUCCUUUCUAGUGGGAUUAGGUCUGAAGUCCUAACUCAGAUGAAAUGACUCGUUCACCUUUCGCUCCUGACUUCGUCAAUACAAGCAAUAAGGGCCCUCGAAGCUCGCCAGCGGAGCUUGAUCAUGCCUUACGAAAUAGACGUGGGAUGUACAUUUUGACUAAGUUAUAGUUGGUGAAGGGGAUCUCCCCAAUCAUCUUCAAAUAAUAUAUGAUCAUGUAGACGAUGCGGUAGAAUAAAGGGUGAAUUUUUCCGAGGGUUAGUCGAUACCAUCGGUAGAAGUUGAGAACCACAGGUCUAUCGGAGGCAAGGAUGGCCCUACCAGCCAAAGGGUUAAUUGGUAAGUAUACACACUGAUAAAAUUGUCUUUGUAUGUUGUUAUAUCCUCCUUUCAAGAAGGGACCAUGAAAAGCACUACAUCCCUCUAGUGGCAAUCAGUCCUUACCCUUCCGACAUCUGCUAUUAAGCUAAUAUACUGAGACAUAGGCUCACGAUGCCCCGACUUCGAAGAAGGUUUUUUGAUUUUGAAAUCAGAAUCUAUUGCAAAGGACCCUUGAAUGCAUUCCUCAACAUGAGGAGACAGUGCUGCUUUGCCUUCAAAUGAAAGUGAAGAGGAGGAGGUUAUAUUCUCCUAAGAAGCGGAGGCUGAAGCUUUCACUAUUGUUGAAAUAUUUUAGAGGAGAAAAAGAAGUUGGUUUUAAAAUAAAGAACAAAAGUUAAUAAUAAGGAACAAGAGUAGAGGUAUUUAUGAAGCCCAAUACGCAUAGUAGAGGAUACAAAAAGUCAACUAGCCGCUUUGAUGAAUACGAAAGGCUUUUAAGGGCUGGGUGCAUGCGACCUGUUGACAUCUUAUUCUAUCGUGUCAAUCAUUUGGCAAGAUAUGAAUGACGUCGUUACGGAAGUACCAGGAGGGAAAUAAUUCGAGGUCCUUUCCUAUCACUUCGUUCUAAGAAAUGCUUUGGACUAUCUGUAUACGGGCGAGAUUGGGAGGCCUAAUUUCGCGUUCAUUUCAUCUCUCCCUUUGCCUAAUAAAGGCCCCAAAGAUCUGGGACCGUAGUUUGAGGCUUCAACAUCGAAGGCUUUUUCACGCUCGACCACGACGCAGCAUGAGUGUGAUGACCAAAAGGGUCAUCACUUGUUUGCUCACUCAUUCUGUGCUUUUGAUACCUUUAAAACCUCAUUAUGGGUUGCCACAAUUUGCAUGUGCAGUUUGGGCGCAUAACCGGAAUGCUUAAAUAUUAACAUUGUGAGAAAAUGCUAAAUUUGAUAUUAAAUCAAAUAAAUUUGAUUUCGAUCAAAAUUUUAGGUAAACAGACCCGGACCUAUGAUUUGAUAGUCCCCGCGGGUCUGUAGGAAAAUAUAGGACUUAGGCGUACGUCUGAAAUCAAAAUCCGAGGUCCCAAGCCCGAUAAAUGAGUCUUUAAAAGAAAUUGUUUUUCUGAAACUGUUAAGGAAAUUGAAACUCAAAUUUGAUUUGAAGACUAUGGUAUCGGGCCCGUAUUUUGGUUCCGGUGCCCGGUGCAAGUCUUAUAUAUUGUUUAAUCACAUUAUUUAAAAUUAGGUUGAAAACGGACGUUGUUUGACGCGUUUCUGACUUAAAAUGCAAAUGUGACGUUUUUUGGAAAUUUCGAAGGAAUCACGAGUUUUGAGGCUUUAUUCGAUGUGUAUGAAGUUAUUUUAGCAAUUUCAUCACACGAGUAAGUCCGUAGGAUAUUUCUGAGGUUGUGUGUAUAUUCUGUUUGGAGCACCGAGGGCUCGGGUUAGUUUUGGGCAGGCCGCAUUGUGAAAUUUUAGACUUAAGGAAUUGCACGCCUGCAGUUUUGGCAUUUACCAAAAAAUUUUCGCAAUUACCAGGAUAUUUUGCAUUUUCGAAACUUUCUUCGCAAUUCAUAGGUUUGCAUUUUAGAAAUAUGUUUUGCAAUUACCAGGCCUGUUUGCAUUUUAAAAAAUUUCUUCGCAAUUCCCAUGCUUGUAAUUCUCAAAAUUUUUUCGCAAUUCUCAGGCUUGUUUGCAUGUUCCAAACUUUAUUCGCAAUUCCCGGGUACGCUUUUCCCAAACUUUUUUUGCAAUUCCCAAGCGAGCAGAGGUUGGCUCGCAAUUGCAAACUCGUGUUCACAUUUCCCAUAUCAGAGACCUGCAACUUUUAUACUUAGACGGUUUCAAACCCAUUUAUCAUGUUCUCUCAAAACCUAAACACACGUAGGCAAUUUUUCAUUGAUUUAUUCUUCUCUAUAUCAAUUAUAAGUCAUUUUAACUAACUUCCUUUAAGUGUUAACUUCUUUUAACAUGAUUUCAACUUCAAAUCAAUGAAUUUCAUGGGGGAAAUUGGGUGUUCUGGGUAGAACCUAGGCUUUUCCAAAAUUGGGGAUUUAGACCUCAAUUUGAGGUCCGAUUUCAAAACUAAUUAUAUAUUUGAGUUCGUGGGGGAAAGAGUAACCAGGUUUUUGUUUGAACAUCGGGUUUUGACCACAUGGGCCUGGGGGCGAUUUUGGAAUUUCGGCAAAACUUUGAGAAAUUCAUUUUUAUGCAUUUAAAUUCAUUCAUUUAGAGUUUAUUAAAGUAAUUAAGUUACUUGUGACUAGAUUCGAGCAGAUUGGAGGUGGAAUAACGGGCUAAAGCUUUAGUUGAGGCUUGAGUUUAGUUCAAAGCAUUGAGGUAAGUUUUUGGUCUAAUCUUAGCUUUAGGGAAUAGGAGUUGAGUCUUAUUUGCUACUUGCUAAUUGUCGAGUAUGAUGUAUAGGCAUGUUGACAAGUAUUUAUACAUUGGUGUCUAUCAUGACCGUGAUGUCCUUAUUUUGCGAAUAGUUUGGAUUUAGUUAUACCUUCCAUGCUUAAUUGAUGACUUCUAUAUGUUGUAAAGAGUAUGUGAAAGGAAUUGUGAUUUUAAACUUCGUGGAGCAUUGGCUCGAGUUGAAAUAUAAAUUGUGAAGGAAUAUGAGAUAAGUAAUUUUUUGGUGCAUUGGCUCGAGUCAUAAUGUGAAUUAUUAGAUGAAAGUGAAAAAAAGAGAAAGAGUUAUUGAUCUAUUCCCUUGUCGGGACAUUGUUGAAUAUUAAAUAUUUUCCCUUGCGGGGACGUUGAGAUUAUUGAUGUUCUACCCUUAUUGGGUUUUAAUUAUUUGUUUGUGUUCCCUUUCCCGGAUUUCCAUUAUUGUUUUCUUAUUCCCUUGCCCUUGUUUGUGAUUAUAUGUUUCGAGGCUUUAAAAUCUCCUUUUUGGCUCACCUUGAUUUGCUUGCUUAGUCCGGACAUAUAUCUGGAAAGUCAUUAUGUGAAAAUUUGUAAAAUAUAUAUAUAUAUAUANNNNNNNNNNNNNNNNNNNNNNNNNNNNNNNNNNNNNNNNNNNNNNNNNNNNNNNNNNNNNNNNNNNNNNNNNNNNNNNNNNNNNNNNNNNNNNNNNNNNNNNNNNNNNNNNNNNNNNNNNNNNNNNNNNNNNNNNNNNNNNNNNNNNNNNNNNNNNNNNNNNNNNNNNNNNNNNNNNNNNNNNNNNNNNNNNNNNNNNNNNNNNNNNNNNNNNNNNNNNNNNNNNNNNNNNNNNNNNNNNNNNNNNNNNNNNNNNNNNNNNNNNNNNNNNNNNNNNNNNNNNNNNNNNNNNNNNNNNNNNNNNNNNNNNNNNNNNNNNNNNNNNNNNNNNNNNNUAUAUAUAUAUAUUGUUACUAAAAUGAAGUUAAGUUGACUUCGGUCAAUAUUUUAGGUAAACAAACUCGAACCCAUGAUUUGACGGUCCUGGAGGUUCCGUUGAAAAAAUAUGGGACCUGGACGUAUGCUCGGAAUCGAAUUCUAAGGAACCAAGCCAGAGAAAUGAUUUUUUGAAGAAAAUUAUUUGACUGAAAUUUUAAGAGUUUUUUAAAAUUGUAAUGUAUUGGAAUUUGAUGGUAUUAGGCCCUAUUUUUGUUUCAGAUUUAGCCAUAGGUCUAAUAUGGUGUUUUUGUUGAGCCAAUCAAAUUUUGUAAGAAACGUACUUGAUAUGGCAUGAAUCGGACCUUCAGUUGUUAAAAUUUGAACUAAAGAGUUCAUGAGAAUCUUCUUUGAUUUUGUUGCUAAAUCAAUAGUUAUUGAUGUUAUUUUGAUGAUUUUGUCGCACGAGCAAGUACGUCUAAUAUUUUGUACUUGUGUGCAUGUUUGAUUUAGAGCCACCUGGGCUCGACUGAAUUUUGGAUAGGCCAUGGAGUGAAAUUGAACUUAGGAAAUUGCGAGGCCUGGCACGUAAAUGUGAGCUCGCAUUUGCAAAGUUGUAUCGCAAAUGCUAAGAUAGCCUAGGCAGGCCUUGAUCGCAAAUGCGAAAAAGGCCAGAGUCGCAAAUGCGACUUGUUGUUUACAAAUGUGAAGAUAGCAGGUCCAAAAGGGGUUCACAACUGCAAACCUUGGUCGCAAUUGUGACAUCAAAGACCAGUUAAUUGGGAAUUACACGCAUUUUUAUCCAUGUUUCAGACCUUCUCAUAACCAAAACACUCUUGGGGAUUUUCUAAAGAAACGUUUAUCUACAAACUAAUUGUAACUCAUUUCCAACUCAGUUUCUUUAAUCUAUUGCAUCUUUUCACAUGACUUAAAAUAAAAUUCAAGGGUUCUCAUGGGGAAAAAUAGGUGUUUUCGGUAGAACCUAUGAUUUUUAAAUUUUUGGGAUUUGGACCUCAAUUUAAGGUCUAGUUUUGAAACGAAUUAUAUAUUUGAGUUUGUUGAUAAAUUGGUUAUUGGGUUUUUGUUCAAACCUCGGGUUUUGACCAUGUGGGCAUGGGGUUGAUUUUUGACUUUUGGGGAAAAAAUUUAGAAAACUUAUUUUCAUCAUUAGAAUUGAUUCAUUUAGCAUUUGUGAAUAUAGUUAAGUAACAUGUGGCUAGAGACAAGCGAAUUGGUGGUGGAUACAAGAGGUAAAGCGAUAGUUGAGGCUUGAUUUUCGUUCGUGGCAUUGAGGUAAGUGUUUGGUCUAACCUUAGCUUGAGGCAUUAGGAGUUGUGUCUUAUAUACUCUAUGUUAAUUGUUGAUUAUGGCGUAUAGGUAUGGUUAUGAGUAUCUAUACAUUGGUGUCAUGCAUGCCGGUGAGUCUUAUACUAUGAUUAUAUGACUUUGGUCUCAUAUUGUUCAUGCUUUAUAUGAUAAGUUCUAUUGUUGAGGAAGGCACGUGGAAGUAUUAUUGGUAAUUAAACAAUAUAGAGCUUUGGCUCAAGUUGUGACUAGAGUUGCGAAGUAAAUGUAGAAAGAGUAGAGGUUUAUGAUAUUGUCUCCCUUGCCCGGAUGUUGUUACUUUUGAUGUUAUCUCCCUUGAUGGGAUGUUAUUACUUUUGAUAUUGUUUCCCUUGCCGGGAUAUGGUUGUUAUACUAUUGUUCCCUUGCCAGAAUUUUAUUUUGGUUUUAUUUAUUCCCUUGCCGUUAUUGCUUUGUGAUUUUUGUUUGGGAAAGGGAGAAUGAUAAAUCACGAAGGGUGAUGCCGUGCCUGAUAUUUUUAAGAGAGUGUUAAUGCACAAAGUCUUAAGCCUUGAUGAUAUUGUCAGGUUAAAGCACGAAGGUUGAUGCCAUACGCGAUGUACAAUUCUAUGCCAUGAUAUGACAGAUAAUGCACAAAGGAUCUUUCUGUGCCAUGAUUAUUUGAGGUAAAAGCACGAAGACUGAUGUCGUGCCGUUUAUAUUAAUUCUUAUGGUAAGGAUGGGAGUAAAACCAUUACAGGUGAUGGCAUGCACCUGUCAUUAGUUUCAUGAUUCUUACUGGUAAUUGAGUUAUGGUGUUCUUUACAUUUACCUAUGGAUUUUAUUAUGUUACUUCCUGUUCGCCUUAAUUUGAUUUCCCUUCCUAUCACAUGUUGUAAAUUCCUGUCUUUAUUUUCUGAUGUACAGGAUUUAACUGCACUGGUUAAUUUAGUAGUCUGGUCCUAGCCUCGUCCCUACAUCGUCGAGAUUAGGCUAGGCAGUUACCAGCACAUAGGAUCACUUGUGAUGGUACUACACUCUGUACUGUGUGCACAUCCCAAUGUUAAAACUUUUGGAAUGCAACUACGUUGCUGCCUUCAAUCUAUUUAGGCGACCCAAGGUAGUUUUGCAGGCGUUCGCAAGCUUUAGUGUCUCCUUCUAUCAAUUCCUUUUUUUAUUAACGUAUCCAGAGAUAGAUUUAUGUAUUUCUAUACAGACUCUGUUUGUAGUAUUCAUAGAUGGUUCGUGACAUUAUGACACUAGCUGUGGGUAGAGUUGUACUUAGACUUCCAUAGUUUGUAUUAAUCAAAGUUAUCAAAUUUUGUCUUCCACACGAUUUUUUUUGUUAUUAUUAUUUCCACUACUUUGGUUAUGUUGUCUUGGGAUUUCUAGGGGAUUAAAAAAACAUGAAAAAAGAAUUAAUAACUGUAAUAUUGGCUUGCCAUGAUUUUACUAGUAGACACAAUCACGACUCCCGAGUAUGGGAAAUCUGGGUCGUGACAAUUUGGUGUUAGAGCUCUAGGUUUCUUAGAUCUCAUAAUUCACAAACAAGAUUACCAGAGUCUGAACAAUCGGUACGGAUACGUCUGUAUUUAUCCCCUAGAGGCUGCAGAGUUAGGAAAAACUUCACAUCUGUUAUUUCUUAUCUUGCGACUUGACUUCUCAAUGCUAAUUGAACUUUUACUCUGUUCACUUGCAGAUGUUGAGAACACAUAGUGUUUCAUCAGCUAACCCAUAGCCUGAGCCCCCAGUAGCAGCUCAUGUGCGGGACCGAUGCUAAGGCCAUGCUAGGGACCGAGAUUGUGACAGAAUUUAGCCUAGAGAUCGAGCAGCAGCACCAAUAGCGGAGCCUCACGUUGAGUUUCACGACAAGGUUCCAUAAUAGUUAGCUCUAGCAGGACCAGCUCCGCUACCAAAGGGGUUCAUCAUCACCCCGAUACUUCAGGAUGCUCUGGUCCAUCUAGUGGGCCUUAUGGAGAGUGUCACUCAAGCAGGCUUGCUUCAUGUGGCACCAGCCAUCUCUCAAGCUGGAGGAGGAGCCCAUACAUCUACUACUCACACAACGGAGCAAAUGGCUCUCCAGUUUCAGACUCCAGUAGCUCAGCCAGUUAGGGUAGUUCAGCCUGGUAUUGUUGCUAAUUCCGGGGAGUGGCUAGCUAUGUCUGCUAAUGCCUUGUGGAUAUUGGACAUUUUCUCCAAGCUCUGCUUCACUACCACUUACAUCGGUGCAUCUUCUAAGGAUCCCCAAGAUUAUUUAGACAAUUGUCAUAAGGUUAUUAGGAACAUGGUAAUGGUGGAGACCAAUGGAGUUGAAUUUGCUACUUUUUAUUUGUGGAUCCUCCAAGACUUGUUAGAGAUAUAAUUAUUUAGAUAGACCAGCUGGGUCACGAGAUUUGACUUGCGAUUAGUUUUCUCAUCUAUUUCUUGAGAAGUUUCUUCUAAUCACUCAGAGGGAGAACUAUCGGAGGCAAUUUGAGCGUUUCCAUCAAGGUUCUAUGACCGGUACACAGUACAAGACCAGGUUUAUCGAUUUGUCCUACCAUGCUCUUCUUUUACUUCCCACUAAUAGAGAGAGUCAGGAGGUUCAUCGAGGGACUCCUUCAGCCUAUUUGAUUGCAGAUGGAUAAAGAGACGACGAGCGAGAUUUCUUUUCAGGAUGCGCCCGAUGUGGCCAAGAGAAUUUAGAUGGUUCUAUCACGUGGGAGUUGUCAUGGGUCUGACAUGAGGCCUCAUCAUUCAGGAAGAUUCAGUGUUGCCUCGUCUAGAGGUAGGGAUUCUUUUGGUAGAGGUCAUCCUCCUUGGCCUUUUCAGUCAACACUUCAGGUCUCUCAUGAUGAUUCAGGUGGUCGGGGUUCUCAUAUGUAGUAUUUUGAUUAGAAGUCCUACAGUGCACUACCAGCUCCUAUCAAUGCACUGCCGCUCCAGAGUUUUUAGGUUGGUCAUUCAACCUGUAAAAGUCAGCAAUAACAAUAGAUGAGGGCUUUUUAUUCUUGUAGCGAUACGAAUCAUAUUGUUAAAUUUUUCCCUCGAGUAUCAAGCAUCUCUCAGCAUCAGCGUUCCGUGUUAUUGUUAAAGCACAAAAUGUUCCAGGCCCCGCUCGGCCAGCCAAGGGGGAAGUAGUGGUGCUAGAGGUGGAGUUUGAGGUAUUAAAGGUAGAGGUUAGGCCACUAGAGGUGGAGGCCAGCAAGCAACAGGUCAUCGCAGAGAUGUAGUUCAAAGUAGUGAGACCCAAUCUCAAAGUUAUGCUCUUCCAGCCAAGCUCGAGACUGAGGCUUUUGAUUUAGUUAUCACAUGUUCUAUCUUGGUUAGUAUUAGAGAUGCCUCAGUUCUAUUUGAUCCAAGAUAUACAUACUCAUAUGUGUUUUCUUAUUUUGCACCGUAUUUGGUCAUGUCUAGUGAUUCCUUAGGAGCUCAUGUACAUGUGCCUGCACCAAUUUGUUAUUUUAUCGUGGUCGAUAAUGUCCAUCGUUCAUGUAUAGUUAUGGUUGGGAUUCUUGAGAUUCGUAUAGAUUGGUUACUUUUGGAUAUAGUUGAUUUUGAUGUCAUGUAGGGGAUGGACUGGUCAUCACCUUACCAUGCUAUCUUUGACUGUCAUGCCAAGAUUGUGACCUUAGCCUUGCAAGGGUUUCCCUGUUUAGAAUGGAAAGGGAUUCCUGGUCAUCCCACCCGUAGUUUUAUCUUAUACAUGAAGGCUUUGUGUAUGGUCGAGAGAGGUAUUUCGCCUAUUUUGCAAAUGUUUGUAAUUAUAGUGCGUAUGUUCCUUCUAGGGAUUAUAUGCCUAUUGUUCGUCAGUUUCCUGCGGUUUUUUCUUCAGACCUCCCAGGUAUGCCAAACGACAAGGAUAUUGACUUCUGCAUUGAUUUGGCUCAGGGCACUCAGCCUAUUUCUAUUCUGCAGUAUAGUAUGGCCUCGCUUGAGUUGAAAUAAUUGAAGGAGCAGUUGUAAAACUUGCUUGAUAAGGUCUUUAUUAGGUUUAGUGUAUUUCCCUAGGGUGCGCUUGUAUUGUUUCUAAAGAAGAAGUACGGAGCAAUGACGAUCUGUAUAGAUUAGAGGCAAUUGAAGAAGGUUACAAUAAAGAAUAAGAAUUUGUGAUUUGUGUGACUAGCUUCAGUGUGCCAAGGUAUUUUCAAAGACUAACUUGAGAUCUGGCUACCAUCAUUUGAGGAUUAGCGCAUCCGAUGUCCCAAUGAUACCUUUUCGCACUUGGUACGGGCAUUAUAAGUUCUUGUGAUGUUAUUUGGGUUGACAAAUGCCCCAACAAUUUUUAUAGAUUUGAUGAGCUGAGUGUUCAAGCCUUACUUGGUUUUGUUCGUGAUAGUCUUGAUUGAUGAUAUUUUGAUUUAUUCCCGUAGCCAGAAGGAGCAUGAGGAGUAUGUGAGAGUUGUUAUGCAAACUUUGACAGAUAGUCAGUUGUAUGCUAUGUUUUUUAUGUCUGAUUUUUUGUUAGGAUUAGUUUCUUUUCAUGGAUCAUGUUGUAUUAGCAAAAGGUAUUCAGGUAGAUCCAAAAAAGAUAGUGGCAGUCAAGGACUGGCCUUGACCCGCAUCAGCUACAGAUAUCCGGAGUUUCUUGAGUUUGGCGGGUUAUUACCAUUUGUUAGUGGAUGGGUUUUCUUCUAUUGCAGCCCCAAUAACCAGGUAGACCUAGAAGGGUUCCUAGUUCAGGUUGUCAGACGAGUGUGAGGCAAGCUUUCAAAAGCUCAAGAUAGCUUUGACUAUGGCACCGUUAUUGGUUUUGCCCACAUGUUUAGGGCCAUAUACAGUUUAUUGUUACAUAUCUCGUAUUGGACUUGGAAUGGUGUUGAUGCACAAUCACAAGGUCAUUUCUUACGCUUCACGACAGUUUAAGAUUCAUGAAAAAAAUUAUCCAAUUCCUUAUAGAGAGUUAGCAUCUGUUGUUCACGCGUUGAAGAUUUGGAGGCAUUAUUUAUAUGGCAUAUAAUGUGAGGUGUUCAUGGAUCACAAGAGUUUGCAACACUUGUUCAAGCAGAAGAAGCUAACCUUAAGGUGAAAUACUAUGAUAUCACCAUCUUAUAUCAUUUGGGGAGGGCCAAUGUGGUGGCCAAUGCUUAGAGUCAACUAGCAUGGGUAGUCUUGUGUAUAUUUCGGUCGAUGAGAGACCGCUUGCUUUAGAUGUAUUGGCUUUGGCCAAUCAGUUUGUAAGGUUGGAUGUCUUUUAGACUAGUCAUGUGUUAGCUUGCAUAGUCGCUCGCUUUUUAUUAUUGGAGCAUAUAAAAAUCUACAGUAUGAUGAUCCCUAUUUGUGUGUCCUAAAGGAUGCGGUGCAGCACAGUGGUUCGAAGUAGGUCACUGUUGGGGAUGAUGGACUUAUGAGGUAGUAUUUGUGUGCCUAAUGUAGAUGGACUUUGAGAGUUGAUUCUAGAGGUGGACCAUAAUUCAGGUUGAGGAGGGUGAAGAAGGAUAUUGUUGUAUAUUUGGCUCGAUGUUUGAUUUGUCAGCAAGUAAACUACUAGCAUUAGAUACUUGGUGAUUUGUUUAAGAAGAUUAAGCUUCCCGAGUGGAAGUAGGAGAGUAUGUUUAUGGACUUUGUUGUUGGACUUCCACGGACUCAGAAGAAGUUGGAUGUAGUGUGGUUAUUGUCGAUGGGAUGACCAAGUUAGCACAUUUUAUUCCUAUGGCUACCUCAUAUUCUUCUAAGAGGUUAGCGGAGACCUAUAUUCAGGAGAUUGUUUGCCUUCAUAGUGUGCCCGUGUCUAUCAUUUCUUAUUGAGGUACGCAGUUUACCUCGUAGUUAUUAGGGUUGUUCAGCAUGAGUUGGGCACAUAGGUUGAGGUGAGCACAACAUUUCAUCUUCAGAAUGAGGGGCAGUCGAAGCGUACUAUUCAUAUUUUGCAGGAUAUGCUCUAAGCUUGUGUAAUUGAAUUUGGAGGAUCGUUGUAUUUAACAGAGUUUGCCUACAACAACAGUUACCAGUCGAGCAUUCAGAUGGCUCAUUAUAAGGUAUUAUAUGGCAGGCGGUGUCGCUUGAUGGUCGUGUCUUUUGAGCUGAGAGUGGAUCUAUUUUUGGGUAACGAUCUAGUACAGGAUGCCUUGGACAAGGUUAGGAUCAUUCAAGAUAGGGUUCGUAAAGCUCAGUCCAGGAAAACGAGUAACACAGACCGUAAGGCUCCUGAUGUGGCAUUCAUGGUUAGCGUACGGGUGUUGCUUCGGGUGUCACCUAUGAAGGGCGCGAUGAGAUUUGGAAAUAAGAGCAAGCUUAGACCUAGAUUCAUUGGCCCGUUUGUUAUUCUUGAUCGAGUGGGAGAGGUGGCUUAAAGACCUGGGCUACUGCCAAAUUUAUUAGUUCUGCAAAAGUGUUUUAUGUGUCCAUGCUUCGGAAGUAUCACGAUAAUCCACCCCACGAGUUAGAUUUCAACAUUUUCCUAUUUGUCAAGGACUUGUCUUAUGAGGAGGAGCGGGUAGCUAUUCUAGAUAGGAAGGUUCCUUAGUUGAGAUUGAAGAGUUUCCAUCUCUUCGUGUUCAGUGGACAGGUCAGCCUGUUGAGGCAUCGACUUGGGAGUCCGAUUUGAUAUGCAGAGUUGUAAUCCCUACUUUUUCCCCGACUCAUUCUUAUGUGUGUUCGAGGACGAACAUUUGUGUCUAUGGUAGAGAAUGUGAUGACUAAAAGCUUAUCACUUGUAUUACAAAAAAUCCUGUGUUGUGAGGCCUUAAAACCUCUUGUUUGCCUUUCUUGAUUUGCGUUCGCAAUUCGGGCAUGUAUCCGAUAAAGCCAUUAUGUGAAAAUCCAUGAAAAAAUGAUAAAUUUUUCUUUAAAAAUAAAUUUAUGCUGACUUCGAUUAAAAUUUUGGGUAAACCGAAUUAGACCCAUGAUAUGAUGGUCCCGAAGGGUCCGUUAGAGAACGUGGGACUUGGGCAUAUGCCCGAAAUUUUAAGAGUUUUUUAAAUUAUAAUGUAUUGGAAUUUAAUGGUAUCAUGCCGUAUUUUGGUUCUGGAAUCCGAUACAUGUCUUAUAUGGUAUUUCAGUUGAGCUUAUAAAAUUUUGUAAGAAAUUGACUUUAUAUUUCUUGAAUCGGACCUUCGGUUGUUAAAAUUUGAACUUAAGUGUUUGUGAGAUUUUUCAUUGCUUUUGAUGAUAAAUUCAUUAUUACUGACGUUGUUUUGAUAAUUUGACCGCACGAUAAAGUCCUUAUGAUGUUUUUUGACUUGUGUGCAUGUUUGGUUUAAAGCCCCCAGGGCUCGGGUCACGGAUUGAAAUUGGACUUAGGAAACUGCUUGUGUGUUGCAGGUCUACAGGCUUCGAAAUUCCGAAGCCUAGCUCGCAAAUGCAAUCUUGCCUCUGCGAAGUUGUAUCGCAAAUGCGAAGAUGGCCCGAGAAGGCAUUGAUCGCAAAUGCGAAUAUUUCAUGGCAAAUGUGAAAAGCCAGUGUCACAAAUGUGACUAAUUCUUCGCAACUAAAGUGGUUGCAAUUGCGACAUUAGAGACCUAAACAUAUUUUUCUCCCUUUUUCAAACCUUCUCAAAACCUAAACACUUUUGUAUGAUUUCCCAAGGAAAAUCUCCAAACCAAUUAUAAGUCUUUUCAAACUCAUUUUCUUUAAUCUAUAACAUCUUUUUACAUGAUUUCAAUCUAAAAUCAAGGGAUUUCAUGGUGAAACUUGGAUGUUUUGGGUAGAACUUAGGAUUUUCAAAUUUUGGGGAGUUGGACCUCGAUUUGUGGGUGAAUGGGUGAUCGGGUUUUUGUUGGAAACUCGGGUUUUGACCAUGUGGGCCUAGGGUGCAUUUUUGACAUUUGGGGAAAAAACUUAGAAAACUUAUUUUCAUGCAUUAUAAUUGAUUCAUUUAGCAUUUGUUAAUGUAGUUAAGUAUUUUGUGACUAGAUACAAGCAUAUUGAUGGUUGAAACAAGAGGUAAAGCGGUAGCUGAGGGUUCAAUUAAGUUUGUGGCAUCAAUAUAAGUGUUUGGUCUAACCUUAGCUUGAGGGAUUAGGAGUUGUGUCUUAUUUUCUAUGUGUUAAUUUUGUAGUAUGACAUAUAGGCAUGGUGACGAGUAUCUAUUCAUUAGUGUCAAACAUGUCUGUCUUAUAUUAUGAUUAAUAUGCUCUGUCUCAUAUUGUUCAUGCUUUAUAUGAUAAUUUUUAUUGUUGAACAAGGCAUGUGGAAGUAUUAUUGGAAAUUUAACAUUGUAGAGCAUGGGGUCGAGUUGUGAAUUGAGAUAUGAAGUAAAUGUAGAAAGAGAAGAGGUUUAUGAUAUUGUCUCCCUUGCUGGGAUGUUGUUAAUAUUUUUAUUAUCUCCCUUGCCGGGAUGUUAUUUCUUUUGAUAUUCUUUCACUUGCCGAGAUAUGGUUGUUAUACUAUUAUUCCCUUUCUGAGAUAUUAUUGUGAUUUUAUUGAUUCCCUUACUCUUAUUACUUUGUGAUUUUUAUUCGGGAAGGAAGAGUGUCAAAGCAUGAAGGGUGAUGUUGUGCAUGAUAUUUGUGAGAGCGUGUUAAUGCACGAAGUUGAUCUCGUGCCAAUAUUGUAAGGUUAAACCAGGGUGAUGUCGUGCCACAUAAUGUACAAUUUCGUGCCAUGAUAUGAGUGAUAAUGCAUGAAGGAUUAUUGUUUGUCGUGAUUAUGUGAGGUAAAACCACAAUCGGUGAUGUCGUGCCUAUUACAUUGAUUCUUAUAGUGAGGACAAGAGUAAAAGCUCGAAGGGUGAUGAUGUGCACUUGUCUUUGGUUUCCUGAUUCAUAUUGAAAAUAUUUCAUUACAUUUAUUUAUGCAUUGUCUAUUGUUUCCCGCAUUACGAAUCCCUUUUCUAUAUUAUCUUUUAAAUUCCUGCCUUUAUUUUUUGCUGUAUAUGAUUUAACUGCACUAGUUUAUUUGGUAGUCUGGUCCUAGCCUCAUCACUACUUGGUCGAGGUUAGGCUAGGCACUUACCAGCACAUGGGGUCGGUUGUGUUGAUACUACACUCUGUACUGUGUGCAGAUCCUGUUGCUGCAGCUAUAGGACUGUAGUGACGUUGCUUCCUUCAGUCCAUUCACGCAACCUGAGGUUUCCUUUCUGUUUGUACUUAUUCAGAGACAGAUUCCUAUAUUUCUUUUCGGAAUUUGUUUUUAGAUUUCAUAGAUGGUCUGUAAUGUUAUGACACCAGUUCUGGCUAGAGCUAUACUUAGACUUCUGUAGCUUUUAUUAAUCUAAGUUAUCAAAUUUUGUUUUCCGCACAAUUUUUUUAUUGUUAUUUUCGCUACUUUUGUUAUGUUGUUUUGGAUUGCUAAGGGAUUAAAAAAUGGCUAAAUAAUUACAAUAAUUGGCUUGCCUAGCUUUCAUUAGUAGGUGCCAUCAUGACUCCCGAGUGUGGGAAACCCGGGUUGUGACACAUAGACCGUCCAUAGUGUUCACAUAUCAUAAACCAAUGCAUUUCAUAGACCAUAAAAAAUAUCACCUAUACAAUGCGUUUGUGUGUUUCAUAGACCUUCCACAGUAUCACCUAUCUAAUACAAAUGUGUGUUUCAUAGACCGUCUACGGUAUCACAUAUUAUACACCUAUCUGUAUCACAAACCGUUCACAUUGUUUCCUUACACAAUUCAUAUGCGUUUUUCAUACACGAUUCAUAGUGUUUACUUACACAAUACACAUCCGCAUUUCAUAGAUGUUCACAGUGUUUACGUACAAAACACAUGUGCGUUUCAUAGAGUGUUCACAUUGUCUACGUAAAAAACACACAUGUGCAUUUCAUACACUGUUCACAUAAAAAAUACCUCUUUGCGUUUCAUAGAUUGUUCAUAGUGUUUAAUUACACAAUACACCUGCGUGUUUCAUAGACCGUUCACAAUGUUUACCUACAUAAUACACCUGUGCGUUUCAUACACUGUUCAAAGUGUUUGCUAAUGCAAUACACAUGUGCAUUUUAUAGAGCGUUCACAGUGUUUACUUACACAAUAUAAAUGUGUCUUUCAUAGACCUAUUACAAUAUUUCCUUAUACAAUACACAUGUGCAUUUUGUAGACCUUUCAUAGUAUUCAUAACACAUAAUUAUGCACACAACCAUAUAUAAACUGAAGCGACAUUACUAACAAUACUUUAAAGGUCGUAAGUUCCUGGAUCAUUGGAACACUUCAUGUUCAUUCUCAUCAAGGAAAAACAUAGUUGAUUACAUUAACAUGUAUGCUGAAUAGAUAAUUCAAUUUCAAUGGUCGAUGACCCAAAUUCAUUUUCAAAAGAUUUAUCAUUAUUCAGCAUAAGACAUCUCUCUUCAUCUAAUUAUUCACUCGCUUAUCAUCUUAAGCUCAUUAGCUAUGUUCAAAAUUCAUGGGGACUUAACGAUGAAGUCAUUUACAUUAAAUAUUUUAUUAGAUUGCAUGCUAUGAUUGAAACCAUUGGGGCAUACAACACAUCAUAACUCCCAUGUUGGCAAACGGCCACAUUUCAUAGUCAUACUACUACUUACUUGUACUUGCCAUGGGUGAUCGCAAGGCAACAUGAAUGUUUAAAAUAUUUAGGAAUACCAUAGCCUCUCGACAUGAAGGCUUAGGAGCUUAUAACACAUUGGAAACGUAGGUAAAAAUAUGUUCAUCUCAUAACCUUUCACACCAUAUAUCAUUUCACAAUUACUUUCAACUAUUUACAACAUAAUUAUUUCAUUGGCUCCCUUUGCCAUACAUAUUAUGCUUUAUUCAUGGCAUUGUGGUCGUAUAUCGUAUUCCGAACUUUCAUUUCUAUUCUUUCAAGGAUUAUUAUCAUAAACGUCGUCAUAUAAAAUAUACUUGAAACACCUUUACCAUAACGGGCAAUACACAAUUUCGACUCAUGAAUAUGUAAGAAGUCAAAGCAUAUUAGAAAUACCUACUAAGCAUAGCAUUAGUUAGAACAACCACAUUUAUACAUCACUUAAGUACAUAAGAUUUUGGAUAAUUCUAUUUUUGGAGUCAACUUUUAUUAUUUUAAUCAAGUCUCAUUUCAUAUUAUUUCAUACAUCAUUUCAUUUUAUUGGCGCUAUUGGCCAUAUUUAUAACUUUCAUUCUUGGAACGAUGUCCACACUAUAUAUAUCGAACUCACAACAUUCACUUUCAAGAAUCUAUAUAAAUUAUCGAUAAUAAAACAUCUUUAAUCACAACUGUUAGUAAACCAUAAUGAAUUAAGAGUCUGUCACAACCUGAACCCCGAUUCGGUUAUGAUGGCUCCUCUAGUGAAGACAGUGCCAGCUAACCAACCCAUUUUCGCCCUUUCAGAAAAGCUAUUAUUAGUAAAUAAUCUUAGCAUCAUUUAAAUAACCACAGUCUAUACAAAAGGGUUCUUUAUAAGUGCGGAAUAAAGUCCAACACAACGGUGUCACCAGUCACGAGCAUGUAUUUGAGUAUAAAUAAAACAACAAGGCCUGAAGUAUUUAAAAUAGAAUUGAUAAACAAAAGGAAGAAAUACGACGCGGCGAACGUUGGCAAUCACCUCGCUAAACUCAGAUAACUUAGCCUCCGAUCAACUCAAAACCCGCUACUGGGUGAACAAAUACCCGUAUCUGCACACAAGGUACAAGGAGUAAAGUUAGUACUCCAACUCAGUGAGUAAUAAAGGUAGAUAAUAACUCAGUAGUAAGAAAUCACGUAAGACAAACCAUCAUGUUGUAUAGUGCAGUGUAAAAAGUUUUUGAGAAUAAAUAAUAAAGAUGUGAAAUCUUUGAAAAAAAUGUCUUAGCUAUGUAUAAGACUCUUUUGAAAAUGGCUUUUUCCACUGUUAUGCAAAUGAGUGCAAAACAAAUAGUGCAGAUAAGCAUAGAAAUCUACCCCUCGGGCACAACACUGACUCAACAGAUAAUACCAGACAAUCGGGUAGAUACCACGUGAAGAAGCACCGAUUAUAGAUAAUGGAAGGAAAAUGAAGCAAGUAAACACAUAGAUCAGUAUCAUACAGUAACCGAUGGGGCAUCCAUCCCGAUUCAUAUCUCAUUACGGCGUGCAUCCCGAUCCGUACAUCACUUCAGCAUGCAUUUCGAUCCAUAUAUUUCAUCGACGAUGCUCACUAGGGAAGGGCAGACUCCGAGAGGGACCCCUUACCACCCAAGUGCAAAUAUGAAGCUAUCUCAUGGUAUCAAAUCCAGUUCCUGGACCUCAUAUCCGUACUAGUAUAACACUGUUGCAACGUACAGCCUGAUCCCAUAGUAUCCUCUCUACACAAGCCCUCAUCCUCACUCAGUCAGAAAAAAAUUAUCACAAGCCCCUUGGGCAUUUGUAAAAUAGUAGUUCUUAGCCCAAAAAAUCAAAUAGAAAUAUCAUUUAAGUCUCAAAACUUAGUAAUAUGGCUGAGUUGUAAAACAGAGGAAAACAACAUGAUUGACCUCACGCAAUAAGUCAAAAUAGUAACGAAACAGUGAUAAUUAUCCCGAAACAAUUUAAAUAGUUGCACGAAGCCCAAAUAUGGCAAUUAGCCAAAAUCAUGAUGAUAACAAGAAAAUUUCAGUCAAAUACACCGUAAAAUAAUUAAUCAAGACGAACCAAGCAAAAAUCCCCAAUGGUGAUCUACCCCAUGCUCGCUAUCUAGCAUGCAAGUCUUGUCAAUUUAGCACUACGAUGUGCAAUCGGGGUUUCAAACCCUCAAACAUCAUUUACAAUCAUUACUCACCUCGAACUAGUGAAAUCACUAGCUUGCAACACCUUUCCCCUAAUAUCGGCUUCCACGCACGUUGAAUCUAUACAACAUAAGAGUGAAUAUAUCACAUUAUGCUAAUGGAACAAAGCCCAAGAAAAAACAAUCAAUAACUCACACAAUACCCAAAUUUACCAAAACCCAAGCAUCAGGCCCACAUCUUCGAACUCAGAAAUUUUCACAUCAAUACAUUCCUUAUCUUCCCACGGGUUCAUACCUAUCAAAAGUUCUUAAUUCGACCACAAAUAGUCCUUCAAAUCCCAAUUCAAUAGUUCAAAAUCCCAACCUAGUUCUUCCAUUUUUAGAUUAAGUUCCGCGAAUUUCUAGGUGGAUUUCACAAUAUAAUCGAGUUUCGAGUCGAAUAUUCCUACCUCAAGUUGUUUCCCCUUGAAUCCCUCUUCAAUAUUCUUAAAUCAUCUCUCAAGAUGAGCAGCAAUGGGUGAAAAUAAACCCAAUUUCGCGAACAAGAUGACUUUAAAAUAUUCUGUCCAAACAUAUUUUCUUCUAUGCGAUCGCGGGAAAACCUUCGCUAUCGCGAAGGAUAAAAAUCUGUCCUCCGAUUUAACUCUAUGCUAAUGCAAAAGAAUCCAUGAAAAUGCGAUGCACAACCGUAUAAAACUAUGCAAUCACGGACCACCCUCCGCGUUCGCAAUAAACAUUUUCCAACCAAUACCUCAUGUCCACUUUAUUCUAUGCGAACACGACCUGCCCUACUCGUUCGCAAUCAACGAUUUGAUCGCAUCCCUAGCUUUGCGAAUACCAAGAACAAUUUAACUAAUCCCUCCAAGGCUUCUAUGCGAUCACGAGAGAACCAACGCGAUCGCAAUGAACAAAAAUCUAACAACUGAAAUCUACAAUUUUCUUAAGUUCUCAAAACAUGAAAUUGAUCUGCUUAACCUCCCAAAACACACCUGAGGCCCUUGAGACCUUAACCAAACCUACCAACAUAGCCCAUAUAAUCAUUCAAACUUGUUCCAAUCAACAAAACACCUGACGCAAAAUCAAAUUACUCAAAACUCAUCGAAUUCAAUCCUAUCGUUCCAACAUCUUCCAAAAUACACUUUCGAUCAAAAACCUUACCAAACGACGUCCGAAUGACCUAAAAUUUCGCACACUUCAAAUGACAUAAUGAGACUACUGCAACUCUCGAAACUCUAUUCCGACUCCCGGAAAAAAAUCUCACAUACCAACCGAAAAUUGCAAAAAUCUCAACUUCACCAAUUCAAGCCAAAUUCUACUUGGGACCUGCAAAAGAAAUUCCAAUCACGCUCCUAAGUCUUAAAUCUCCCAAGGAAGCUAACAAAAUCAUAAAAAUUCUAAUCCAAGCUCAUAUACAAAUUUGUCAAAUUUUGGUCAAACCUUUCAACUGAUAUCAGUCUUUUAAUUUCAUUUAGAUUUUCCUGAAAAAAAAAUCAACGAUCUACAUCGGCUAUAAUCCAUUACACGAGGCAAGUCGUGCUGGAGAACUGGAUAUCAGUGUCUAAAAGCUCAAAACGACAGGUCAGGUCAUUAUAUCCUUCCCCACUUAAACUCACGUUCGUCCUCGAACGUAACCAGAGUUGUUCUAAAAGCUAACCAAUUGUUGAAUAACCUUACCAUGCGUAUACCCGGGGCGAUCCCACGUAACCCUAUCUCAUAUAGGUCCGAUAACAUAUUUUUAGAUGAAAUUACACAAUCUAGUGUAGCCAAUAAAUCGUAGAACCACAUUUUCACUUCUCAAACAAUAAAUAUGAUUAAAACCUCACACCUAUACUCGGAAUUGGCACGAACCAGCGGUAAUAACCCUUGCCUGCAACCUCAAGUGCAAAUAUCUUAUAUACCACAUAACUCAAACACAUGUAGUGAUAACUUCCAUCAACAGUAGCUGCACAUAGUACCCGAAUUUCGGUAGAAUACAUCGUAUCAACUAAAGUCUCAUUCCAACACUUCCAGAUACUGACAAUGAUAAAUGAAACACACAAUAAACCAUAGCCAUUUCUCAGAUCAACUAUCUAUAAGGUUACUUCUCCUAUGGCAAGGACCAUAGCAAAUUUGUGAAACGAACCUCGAUAUUUAUCCAUCAAACAUGUUGAAAUCGAAUCCGUUUGUAUUCAUUACAAACCUCAACGACCUCAUUUAAUCCAACACAAUUACUCUGGUGACAUGACACACCAAGACAGGCUAAAUGCAUAACUUGCUCAAGCCGCGCAUCAAUAAGAAACAAUCCGAACAUACUCACAUUAUGAAACUAACUCAAAUGAAAGAGUUGUACAUAAAGCUCAGCAGUAUCAUCAAAACAUACGACUCAGAACCCGUCUCGCAUAAUAGAAAUAGAACACAUGAAUCUGUCCCGCAAGUUCGUAUCUCCAUAUAGCUUCGCUGUAAAUGCGUGAUCCUAUCCAAACACCGUUCCACAUGAAACACCUUAAGCACUAUGAUUGAAAUUGACAACCGCGCACAAUUUGAUGCCCUGAACCAAAGAAAAUCGCUACACCCACGGAGAACAAGUAACCUAUACCAUGAAGAAAACCGAUAGGACAUAACCGAUACGCCAUCCAUCGAGCAACACCCAAUUACUUUUACCGCUCGACUUUCACUAUGAACCCCAAUAGAACCGAACCAUAUGUGACCAUAACCAACAACUAAUAAUGUCUCGCACCACAAAAAGGUCACUCAUAGAUCUCCCAGAUCACUAGUAAGAUCAAUAAUGGUCGAAUCAACCUAUCCUUCAACAAUACAUUUUGGAGUAAACCAAGCCGACUAAAGCUACAACGUGAUCCACAUUAGCCUAACGACGAACUAUUUAUCAAGGAAAUCCUAAAGUUGUUCCUUCCGCUACAAUAACUCAUGUCGAUGCAAUACGAUGCAUUUCUUGGCACCAAAUCAAUACCGAAAUCCAUUACCUCGCUCGGAAACAUACCUGCCAUACGAAAUAUGUCCAAAAAGAACCUCAACACCGGAACUGAAUCAAUAUCAGGAGCAUCAGCACUAACACUCAUCACAAAAGCCCAAGUAAUAAACACCAUCCUUCCCAGCCAUCCGCUGGGUCUUCGAAAUAUAAAACCUCUCUACUAGGAUAUACUCCGACGCACCUCGCAACUCAACCUCUGGCAUUUUCGACGUAGCCCGUAGUGUAAUAGUAUAGAAUAAUACAACACAGGGACAACCAAUCUAACCCAAAUAUCAUAUCCAAUAUCUAACAUAUGAAGCAUCAAACAAUCCACUCGGGCAUCCCAAAUCCCGAUAGUCGCUAAACAGUGCCGAUACACACAGUUUAAAACCACAACAUAUCCUGAAUAUAAGAACUUCUGUCUCCAAUCUACACGACACAUGAAUCACCAUAUCCAAUCCCAAUUCUAUCGUCCAAAUACAUGCCAUGCCUCUAAUACAAAGUCAUUUCACGAGAGAUACUAAUAAAUUCUUCUAUGCCACCAAGCAAACUCGAAUGUCAGCAGUCGAUCCAGCCUGAAAAUGCCGCAAUACUACCGAAGUGCCAGCAACUUAAUCAUAUUGACCUGUUUUUGAAACAUAUACUCUUGUCAAAUCACUUCCAAUUAACAAUACCAUUUCUUUGAAAAUCUAAGGCUACCUACUGCCUAAGAGUUUUAUGAACUUCCUUUCUGAACUUAAUUAAUACCUCACACACGCAAAUCUUGAUCCUCCACAACAACCCACAUAUACCACACCAUCUCACUAUAACAUACAAAAUUUAUCUCCCUUCCAAGCCAUAGACAUCUACGUACUCAACUAGUCCAGACCCUUCCAUUGGUCCUAUCUAGAAGAAAAAUCACUAUACGUCCCAUGGUCUGCAUGCCCAUAGAGGAUAUACAUCUCAAAACCACGGUAAGAACCAUUAAGAGCUCUCCGAAUUCCCUUUGCUCAUAUCAGGCCUGCCAGGACUGAAUUCUUCUAACUCGACCAAGCUAAGCAAGCCAUCAAUACCUAAGAGCAUUGUUGUAAAAUACUUGUAAGAUCUCAUCGCCUCCAACACACACAAAGAAAUAAUAGUUUCCUUACCAUACUGGUCUUGUCUACUAUCAAGCUACUCCAGCUAUCUUUUCUUUUGAUUCACCUUCAACUUGAUAUUCCCUAUUUCUAUAGCGACACAAUUCCUCGACUCUCCACAUGAGACCCAAGAAUAAAACCACACUGUCUGAGACCCAUAAGCCGUUGAAUACUCUCUCAAUCAUUCUCAAAAACACCACAUUCAAGAAUACAUUACUCUAAAGAACUUCUUGUGAAUUUGAUUGUGUUACCCUUGCCUUCCCGAUAGUGAUACAUAGAAUCCCAUAAUAACAUAGAACUACCACAAGUCUUGACCUCUUCCAAUUAAAACACAGUUUCUAACAACAUAUAUAACCUUAAGAUACCCGAUUAUUCCCUAUAGAAUCUUGAACACAUUAGAACCAUUCUCGAGAGUCAUUCACUCUUAUUCAACUGCAAUUCACCUAGCCUAAUAAAUAGAAACACCCAUGCUUCAUUGGCACUCCGGCGCCGCAGAAUGAAAUCCUCAUCCAAAUACAACCAAGCAACUUCAUGCUCUAUGCACCAAGCCUUGUUUACCAACAACAACUUAAGACAUCCUAUGAUUCUCUUACCCUAUGAAGCAUAAUAUGACCUUUGCCAAAAUUCUACCUUUACUCGAACCAUCUUCGGUCUCAAUCUCCACUAUCCAUAACAAAUUUGCCCGCAUGCCUCAAACUGGAACAAACAUAGCACCUAAUCGUGAAACAAACUACUCAUCGCAGACUCCCCCACUUGGCUCGGAGUCGUAGAUCAAAAUACAUUGGAUAACUCAUAAAACUUAUAUCCUAUUGAUGCCACAAUACCAUGGUGAGAUUAAACUCAAAUCCUUUGUAAGCGUGUGUAAACAAAGAAUAUCUAGUACUUUAAAUAUUUGGCAAAUCUUGCAUUUAUUCUCACAACAAUUAAGCCCACUCUCUUAAGUGACCCAAAAAUUCAAAUUUCAACACUUACAUUUCACUUGCACUGAGGCUUUUUAACGGUCACACAAGGGUCACACAACCCCAGAACACCCCGCAGGAGAUAACCACCUGCCUUGCCUCCAAUUAACAUUUCUACAUUCCUUCGACCGUCAUUAACUGUACGCAAUUACUUAGUGUUCCUAAGUCAGAACUCAUACUGCAACAUUAAAUUUACUUCUCUCACAAAUGGGAAACAUGAAAACAUCAUUCACAUGCCUAUAACUCAGGGCUAUACCUCGAAUCAAGAUGAUUUCCAACACCUAAUAGCUUUUUUAUCCUCUAGCAGGCCUUCCUUUCCAUUUCCAAGUUAUAUAGAUAUAUCUCUCAGUACUAACAUACUCAUCACAUAGUUAUCCAGCCGUCACUACUACUAAGAGGGACAAUACUGAACAUACAAAUUCAAAACACUUGCUCACACAAUCAGCACCUGGGUGCUGAAGCCAUCGGCAAAGAUCCGCCCUCAAGUCCUCCAGACUAGCCCAAUAUCAAACUUACAGAGAUCACAUCUCGCCCCUCGAUUAGGGAAUAAUAAUCCAUCAAGGCACAUUUGACAUUGAGCGCUCAUGCACGCAUACGAACGCAUGGAAGGAAUUUCAGGACAUACAUUUCAAGUUGAAUCAAGGAGGCACAUUGAGAAUUCAAGAAUGGGGAGCUUUAGUAAGGGUUAUGGAUCCUCUCUAGGAUAAAUACAAAUGUUUUCGUACUGAUCGGCUAGACUCUACUAAUAUUGCUCAUGACUCGUAAUACCUAGUAACCUAGGCUCUAAUACUAACUUAUCACGGCCCAAACCUCGAUCCAAUCAUGAUAGCGCCUCUCAUGAAGGCAAGACCAACCAACCCAUUUUGCCCUUUCAGAAUAGAUAAUAUUAAUAAACAAUUUUAGCAUGAUUUAAAAAACAACAGUCCAUACAAAAGUUUUCUUUACAAAGUGCAGAAUACAGUCCAACACCCAGGUGUCACAAGUCACGAGCAUCUAUUAGAGUAUAAAUACAACAACAAGGCCUGAAAUAUUUAAAAUAGGACUGAUAAACAAAAGGAAGAAAUGCGAUGUUGCGAACGCUGACAGCCACCUCGCUAAACUCCGAUAACUUAGCCUCCGAUCAUCUAAAAACCUGCUAUUGGGUGAACAAAUAGCUGCAUCUACACAAAAAGAGUAGGGCGUAAAGUGAGUGCUCCAACUUAGUGAGCAAUAAAGGUAAAUAAUAACUGAGCACUAAGAUGUCACGUAAGGAAAACCAUCAUGUUGUAUUGUGCAGUGUAAAACCUUUUGAGAAAAACAAUGAAGCUAUGAAAUCUUAGGAAAAAAAUGCCUUAGAUCUGCUUAAGACUUUUGAAAAUGGAUUUUUCAACAAUUAUGCAAGUGUAUACAAAACAAAUAUUGAAGAUAAGCAUAGAAAUCUGCCCCUCGGGCACUACACUCACACAACAGAUAAUGUUAGACAAUCGGGAAGAUACCAUGUGAUGAAGCACAAAAAACUUAUAAUGGCAAACAAAUGAAGCAAGUAAAUACAUAGAUCAUUAUCAUAUAGUAAUCGUUGCGGCAUGCAGCCAAUCCAUAUAUCGUUGUUGCGUGCAACCUGAUCCAUACAUCGUUGUGGAAUGCAGAUCGAUCAAUAUAUUUCAGCGACGACGCUCACUAGGGGUAUGCAGACUUCAGGAGGGGCCCUUGUAGCCCAAGCACAAAUACCAAGCCAUCUCGUGGAAUCAGAUCCAUGCCCUCAACCUCAUAUCAUUACAAGUAUGAAACUGAUGCGGCGCACAGCCUGAUCCCAUAGUAUCAUCUCUGAACAGGCCAUUGGCCUCACUCAGUCAGAUAAAAAUCAUCACAAGCCCUUCAGUCACUUGUAAAAUAGUAAUUCUUCGCCCAAAACAUAAUUUAUAAAUAUCGAUUAAGUCUCAAAACUAAGUAAAAUGGUUGAGUUUUAAAAUAGUGAAAAUCAGCAUGACUAAGUUCAAGCAAUAAGUAAGAACAGUGAGGAAAUCGUGAUAAUAAUCCCCAAAAGGUUUACAUAGUUGGAACGAAGCCCAAAUAUGUCAAUCAGCCCAAAUCAUGAUGAUAACAAGUAAAUUCCUGUCAAAUACACAGUAAAAUCAUUAAUCGUGACGGACCAAGUCACGAUCCCCAAUGGUGCUCUACCCCACGCUCGCUAUCUGACGUGUAAGCCACCUUAAUAUAGCACUAUGAUGUGUAAUCCAAGGUUUCAAACCCUCUGAAUAUCAUUUACAAUCAUUAGUCACCUCGAACUGACAAAAUCUCUAGCUCGCGACGCCCCUACCUCUCAAAUCGGCAUCCACGCGCGUCGAAUCUAUCCAAAAUCAGAGCAAAUACAUCAUAAUAUGCUAAAGGAACAAAGCCCAAGCGAAAACAAUCAAUAACGCGUACAAUUCCCAAAAUUACCAAGUCGUUCCCUCUUUAAUCCUUAUUUAAUAUUCUUCAAAAAUCUCUCAAGAUAAAUAGCAAUGUGUGAAAAUAGACCCACAUUCGCGAACAAUAUGACUUUAAGACAUUCUGCCAGGGAUAUAUUCUUCUAUGCAAUCGCGAGAAAACCUUCUCGAUCAUGAACCAUAAAAUUGCAUCUUCUAAUUUAACUCUAUGCGAACGCAACAGAACUCUUGCGAACGCGACGCAUGCCAUAUCACGGACCGCCCUCUACGUUUGCGAUGAACAAUUUCAAACCAAUACCCCAAGUCCACUUUACUCUAUGCAGACACGACUAACCCUGCACGUUUGUGACCUACUUGUGUGAAUGUGAAGAACAACUUAACUACUCCCUUCAAGGGUUCUAUGAGAUCGCAAGAGAGACAACACGAUCGCAAUGAAAAAAAAUCUAGCAACUGAAACCUGCAAUUUUCUGAAGUUCUCAAAACGUGAAAUUGAUCCGCUUAACCUCCUGAAACACAUUCGAGACCCUCGGGACGUCAACCAAACCUAAAAACAUAACGCAUAACAAAAUUCAAACUUCAUAACAAAAUUCAAACUUGUUCCAAUCAUGAAAACACCUCAAGCAACAUCAAAUUCAAGACUAAGUUUCCAAAAACUUCUGAACUACACUUUCGAUCAAAAACUCGACCAGCAACAUCCAAAUGACCUGAUAUUUUGCACACACAUUCCAAAAUGACAUAAAUAUGCUACUACAACUAUCGAAAUUCCAUACCAACACUUGUAUCAAAAUCUCACCUGCCAACCGGAAAUCGCCAAAAUCUCUACUUCACUAAUUCAAGCCAACUUUUACUCUGGACCUCCAAAACAAAUUCUGAUCACACUCCAAAGUCUUAAAUCACCCAAUGAAGCUAACCAAAUCAUAAAAAUUUCGAUUUGAGCUCAUAUACAAAUAAGUAAACUCUUGGUCAAAUCUUUCAAAUUCAAACAUUCAACUGAAACUGUUCUUUCAAAUUCAUUCCGAUUUUCAAAAAACCAAAACCAACGAGCUACAAUAGUCAUAAUAAAUUACGCAGGUCAAGUCAUUCCCGAGAACUGAAAAUCAAAUUUCAAAAGCUCAAAACGACCAGUCGGGUCGUAAUAGAGUCUUAAUCACACAAAUAUUUCUUACACAAUUGAGCAUAAUAGCCUUUACUUGAAACACGACUUGAAGUCAUAUCAUUUUAGUACCCCACUCAUUUUUUGAACUAACUCCUAAAGGAUAACAUCAAAUAAAAAGAGCAUCCAGAACACAUUGUGAACAUAUACCUUUCAACACAAAGCUUGUUCGUAAUAGUUAAUAUAUAACGAAUAAUUUGGUACUUGCAUGAACAUCGUGGUAUUCAAAUAGAAACGUUUAGUGAAGCAUACCUUGUUUAAUCUUUCCUUAUGAUAAACGUUCCGGAAAUUCUAGCAAUUCUAAUAUAUUUUGAGACAUUGAAAUAUAUAACAAAAAUUAGGAAUAUAUUCAUGUUUUCAGCCCAGCAAUCCUUGCAUAUUUGAGCUCAAAAAUCUUCCCAAAAAGCUUAUUGGUUCAUACAUGUAUAAAUAAUACUCUCACACUCAAGAAUCAUACUCUUAAUUAACAAUGUUCCACCAUAUUCUGAAAUUGAAAACUAAGGAAUGGAGCCAUACCUCUUAGAUGAAGAACUUGAGGGAUUUCUUGUUUGAUUUCAAGGCUUGGAGAAGAUCUUUAUGGACAAAGAAUAUUAGCUUCUUCGUAUCUCUAUAAUGCUCUCAAUUCUCUUUAAAAAUAUCAUAUUUUUCCCCAAAAUGAGCUUUAAGUUAUACUUACCGAAGUUGGGUCGAUUUAGAAUACAAUUAUUCUAAAGGAUUAACUAAAAUCUAAAUCAACAAGUGCUAAUGACAAAACAAUACAAUUAUGCAUCAACUGGUCUAGCUAGAACAAAAUUAUAAAAAAAUCAGAACAAGAAUCAAACCCAAGGAAUAAACACGGAUUUCCCUCCCACAAAUAGCCUCAAACUAAUAAAAUCCUCAAACUAAUAACAUCAGCCAAGAUAGAACAAUGAACAAAAAAUAAAAGAUAUUUAGGAUGAGAAAAACACAAUAAGCUUAUGUAUUUAACCAAUGAAAUAUCUAUGGAUUUUACUAAACUAUAGGCUGAUAAAACAUGGACUGAGUCAAACAGAACAAGAAAGAAUGGAUCAUGAAAACCUAAACCUAUUAAAACAAACAAAAAAAAGUCUUGCAAAAAAGAUAUUUAACUAAAAUUAACGUGAUUAGAUGACUUGGCAUAAAUUCCGGGCUUUAGGAGCCACAUGCAUCGCUAAAAUAGUUCUGGCUGACUUCGAUUUAGAAUUCAAACCAGAUGAAGAUGAUUUGAGGGCCAUGAGUCAUGGAUAUAAGUUGAGAGAUGUGAGUAGACUGCACAGUGUUGAUUUGGUGGAUUUUGGAAAUGGUUAUAUUUUGGCCAGACUUUCCAAAUUAAGAUUCGAGAAGAUAUGGUGUAAUUUCAAGGAUACCGGUGUUAGAUUUGUGAUGAGAAUAUUGCGAGGAGUCUAAGGUGUAAAAUUUGGGGUGUUUGGUAGCCAGCUGCCACCAUGGACGGUGGAGCUGUCGAAUUUCGGACGAAUAUUCAACGAGAUCGGGAGAUAUUUGAGGGUAACCUAUGGUGGGGUAGGAUAGGGGAUGGUGAGGAGGAGAUGCAGUGUAGUUUUGGGGUUCAUCGGAGCUAUGCCACCGCCGACGGCAGAUGGUGGAGAGAUGAUGGGGAGAUUGUGCUGUUACACCGGAGGUCGGUUUGGUACGAGGAAGGUGAUUUUUGUCUCUAAGGGUUGUGAGUGUUAUUCAGACACUUUUAUUUAAAGUGUGAGAGCAAAUCUGGGUCGUUGGAACAAAAAGAAUGAUGGUUGAGAUCAGAUGGACGUCAAACAACGUUAAUUUGAAUCCUCUUCUGGCUAGACCGGGUAUGGGAUUUUGGAUCUGGGUUAAUUUGAUGGGUCUAGGGGUUUGGGCUCCAGAUUGUGGCCCAAAUCAUGGGUCUUUAAUUAAGAGACCCAAUUUAUGCAUUUUUCUCUUUGUAUAUUUUUAUUUAUUUUUCAGAUUUUAAUAAUAAAAAUAAAAAUAAAAUAAAACAAUUUAACUUCCACAAAAUAAGUUAAUUAACCAUCUAAAAUAACCUAAAUCCUAAAUUUAAAAGGGAAAUUAAACAAAUGUAAGAAUAACCAAUUUUUUGUUAUUUUCAAUGUUAAUUAACUAAUAAUCCAAAAGAAAAAUGUAAAAAUUAAGUCCUAAAUGCAAACAUGCUAUUUUGUAUUUUUUAUGAAUUAUAUUAAUUAUAAAUGCACAAUAUGCAAAUAAACACAUAAUCAUGCAAUUAAUUCCUAAAAAUUCAAAUAAUAAAAGGAAAAAUUCACAUAAACACAAAAUCACGCAAUUAGUUCCUAAAACUUCAAAUAAGAAAAGAAGAUUCUAAUUUAAAUGGAUUCUAUAGGAAUACUUCAAGCGAGGCAAAAAUCACGUGCUUACAGUUGCCCGUCUUAGCUUGGAGACACGAAAGGUUUUCAGGCAAAGAUAAAUGAGCAACUGAGAGAUUUUUGCCUGCCUUGCAUUCCAUGAGAAGAAAUUUGAAUACUCUCUGACCGCAACCUGCUUCCGAGGUUGCCUACAUAUCCUUUGCUAAAAAGGAAUCAGGUUAGUGUAUUUCGGGAGUGUUUGAUAGAUGGGACAACAAGUAGCUGUGAUUUCACUGCUGCCGUUGCUGCUACUGCUUCUACUACCGCUAGACCCGCUUAUUACACCAUGUGAAAAAUGAAGAAGCUAGACUAAGCUAUGAACAAGGGAUUACAAAAGAACCUAUCUACGCGUUCAAUCUUGCUCUUGAUCCUUGUUACUUUGUUAUCUUGUAGUUCUUCCUGCAAACUCCUCGUUGCCUUGUUGACUGAUAUUUCUUCCCGUAAACUCCUUUUUGCAAUAUUCCCUUAUUCUCCCGGUUGGUUCCUGAUUACCAAAACUUGAAACUUGUAAAAUAUUCCCUUAUUCUGCAGGGGCGCCUGAUUACUAAAACUUGAAAUUUUGAAAAAUAUUCCAUUAUUCUGCAGGUGGGCGCCUGAUUACCAAGACGUAAAACUUUGAAAAAGAUUCCCUUAUUAAAUACUUAAAACUUUCAUAAAUAUUCCCAUAUUUCUCCUGGUGGGUGCCUGAUUAUCAAAUCUUGAAACUGGAGGCAUAUUCCCUUGUUCUAACAGGUGGGCACCUGACUACUAAAGCUUGAAUAUUGAAAAUUAUUUCAUGGUUCUACAUAUGGGCGCCUAAUUACAAAAACUUGAACUUUGAAAAGUAUUCUCUUAUUAUCCAAGUGGAUACCUGAUUAACAAAACUUGAUACUUUGAAAAAUAUUCCCCUAUUCUCCAGGUGGGUGCCUGAUUAUCAAAACUUGAAACAUGAGAGAUAUUCCCUUGUUCUAACAGGCAGGCGCCUGACUACCAAAAUUUGAAAAUUUGAAAAGUAUUCUCUUGUUCUACAUGUGGGUGCCUGAGUAUUAAAACUUGAAGUUUAAAAAGUAUUCCCUUGUUCUACAGGUGGGUGCCUGAUUAUCAAAACUUGAAUCUUGAAAAGUAUUUCUUUGUUCUGCAGGUGGAAGCCUGAUUACAAAAACUCGAAACUUUGAAAAAUAUUCCCUUAUUCUACAAGUGGGCUCCUGAUUACAAAAGCUUGAAAUUUUGAAAAAUAGUCCCUUAUUCUGCAGGUGUUCGCCUGAUUACCAAGACUUGAAAUUUUGAAAAAGAUUCCCUUAUUCAAAACAUAAAACUUUGAAAAAUAUUCCCUUAUUCUCCAGGUGGGUGCCUGAUUAUCAAAAUUUGAAAAUUGAGAAAUAUUCCUUUGUUCUAACAGGUGGGCGCCUGACUAACAAAGUUGAAUCUUGAAAAUAUUUCCAUGGUUCUACAUGUGGGCGCCUGAUUACCAAAACUUGAAACUUUGAAAAAUAUUCCCUUAUUCUCCAGGUGGGUGCCUGAUUACCAACACUUGAACAUUGAAAAAAUUUCCCUUAUACUCCAGGUGGAUGCCUGAUUAUUAAAACUUGAAACUUGAGAGAUAUUUCGUUGUUCUAACAGGUAGGCGCCUGAUUACCAAAACAUUAAAUUUUGAAAAGUAUUCCCUUGUUCUACAUGUGGGUGCCUUAUUAUCAAAACUUGAAGCUUAAAAAGAAUUCCCUUGUUCUACAUGUGCAUUCCUGAUUAUCAAAACUUGAAGCAUGAAAUGUUUUCCCCUGUUCAAUAGGUGGGCGCCUGAUUACCAACAAUUGAAGCUUGAAAAGUAUUACCUUGUUCUACAGGUGGGCUCCUGAUUACCAAAACUUGAAUGUUUGAAAAAUAUUCCCUUAUUUUUCGGGUGGGUGCCUGAUUAUCAACACUUGCAUCUUCAAAAGUAUUCCGUUAUUCUCAAGUUUGGCGCCUGAUUACCAAAGCUUGAAUAUUAAUAAGUAUUCCCUUGCUAUACAGGUGGGCGCGUGAUUACCAAUUCUUGAUGCUUGAGAAGUACUCCCUAGUUCUACAGGUGGGCGCCUGACUACCAAUGCUCGAAGCUUGAGGAGUAUUCCAUGAGACUGCUGCCUGUGUACCUAAUUACAACAAAACAAACAAACCAAAAGUAAUUCUUCCUGCCCCAGUUAAGUGCUGGGUGGAUCUAUGAGUGUUAAUCAAAUCCCCUUACCAAAUAUCUCUAAAUAUAAACUAAGUCCCAUUAUCCAAGAGGGCCCUGACAAUUCUUCACCGAUGACAACCUUAAGACUAUGUUAUGUUUGUGAAAUGGUAUUAUUUUCCACUAUGUCUCGUUAUGAGUUAUAUAUGCCGGGAAGCUGGUGAUGACUGAUGAUUAAAAGUAUUUCCCAUUAUCCAGGCGGGUCCUGACAACUCUUAAUCUGACGACAAAAUGUAUCUGCUGGGGGUUGGUAAUUAGAGCUAUGUCCCAUUAUCAAGGUGGUCCUGACAACUCCUACAUAUAAAUAUCCUUAUCUAGGCGGGUCCUGAAGACUCUUGUUGAGGAAGUAUUUGGAUUCGGAAAUGCCACCAACUGUUGUGUUCUAGGCUAAAUCUCAUUUAUCGGGAGGGUCCUGACGACUCUUAACUUAAUCCUACUUCAACAUGAAAGUCAUUUUAUGCCACUUGUUAUCCAUGAUUACUUCUAACCAUAAAGUGAGUCCCAUUUUCCAGGAGGGUCCAGAGGGUUCCAACUUAAAUGCCAAUUCUAAUUGUUGGUUGGUUCUGCAAAUGAUUAUUGUCCAGGAGGGAUUCAGCAACUCUUACUGGGGAAGGUGUUUGUGCUUGCCCAUGAUACGCACAUCUGUUUGGAUUUUAAAUUGUGUUCCAUCUCAACUUCUAUGCUUUCUUUAACUCUUAAUUGUUUCUGUUGGGGUUUUCUACUUAAAGUUUGUCCGAAUGUGCUCUUUGUUGGGGAGGAUAUUUAUGACGGACUGUGUCCCUUUUGAGUUUUCACUAUGUCCCACUUCCAAGUGGGCCUUGAUAUUUUGAUCAUACUUGCCAUGUCGCUGCUUUCCCCUGCGGGUGGCCCCCCCUUAGGCGCAUCUGGAAUUUUUCUGCCCCUGUGUCAACUACAAAGAACCUGUUAGUUUAAUAAGUGGUGGUUAACUUGCUGCAUUCAUGUUAAAAGAGGUCUCCCUACUGUCAUGUUCCAUUGUGUUCCAUUUUCCAUGUUAUUGAUAAGUUUCUUAAGCAUGCUCAGCUGACCCCUCGAACUUUUACGGCUUUACUUUGCUCCUCAUCAUUGUGUUACAUUUCCAACCUCAAUACCAGAAUCCUUGCCCAUUUCUCGAGAUUGCCAGUUCGAUGCAUUACGCUUAGCUGGCCCUCCGACACUUGUAACUUUUCUCGGUUCCUGAUCUUUGUGUUGCAUUAUUGAGCCUUUGCAAAAGCUCAUACAUCCUUUCUUGAGAUUAGCCGCUUAGAUUACAAUUUUUGGCUGAUCCUUGACCUUUGUUUCUUUACCUUGCUCCCCACCAUGUGUUGCAUUUUCCACCUUUUUCCGAAAUUCUUUAUGUCCUUCCCCGAUGAUUGAUGAGUUGACGUAUUAUGCUUGGUCAACCCUUGUGACCUUUUCCAUCUUUGUGUUGUGCUACUGACUAUUUUUUCAGAAACCUUGCAUCCUUCUGAGAUUGCCCGGUCAGUGUGUUAUGCUCGGCUGACCCCAGAACCUUUGUGGUUUUACUUCGCAUCCCCGUUGUCACACCUCCUUUUUUACACGGUUACUCCAAAGGAUAAAAACGUAUAAGGGUGUUUUUCCAACUAAUGUGACAUUAUUCGAAAUGGGAUUAAUUAUUUACUUAAGAGUCGCCACUUGGGAUAGGCUUGGCUUUCGGUGUCCCAAGUCAUCUGUUUAUUUAGAAUCCCAAAUCGAGAAAAAUUUCGACUGUCCGAUUUUAGUCUGCGAACCAGAAAUUCUAAGUAAGGAAUUCUGUUGACCCGAGGGAAGGUGUUUGGAACCCUCGGAUCACGUGGUUCUAGCAUGGUCGCUUGAACUCAUUAUAAGGGGCUGGAAAUCUGAUUUGCUAUACUUGUUUAAACCUAUAGUGCAAUUAUUAACCGCUUUUAAUAUUUGUAUGAAGUUUGCAAUGUCGUUAAAAUAUGUCACGGAUCACGUCACAUAAAUGUGCAUGCAAUUUUAGACAAAUUUUAACUUUAUUGAGAUUUGGAUUUGGGCCGCAUAAAUGCGCACCCGAGCUUAGGAAGGUAUUUUAUUAGUUAAGUCGUGCCUACAGCAUUUACGUCCUAAAAAUUCAUGGAAGGCCAUAAAAUUUGCUAAACGGCACUUCCGAUUUUCUAAAUAUUUUUAUCCGUUUACGGAGCCUCGUGGUGUUUGAUUAGAUGAACGUAGCUCCUUUUAUUUUAUAAGGACAUCCUAAGGCAUAUUAAAUUCUCUAUCAGGUUUUCGCCUAAAUACCCUAUCAUUUAUACAUGAGCCACACAUUUGGAAAAUUAGUACUUGUGUUUUAGCCUCAUUCAUGGCUAUUCAAACAGGCCAGGCCUCAAAUUUUGGCCAGCCCAGAAACAUUCAUCAUAUCUGGCCAUUAAUGGGCCAUUCAACUUGGCCCAUAGUUAAUUUGAACUGAGGAAUCAGUAUGAACAAAUUUCGAUAAUGCUUCUUUUGGUUCGAGUAUAUACAAAAAAUUAAUUAUCUAUAGAGUCAUAAAGAGGAUACUAAUGAUAAUUUUAUAUAAGUUUUUAGAACUAAAUCUGGAAAAAAUGAUUCAUAUACUCGUCUAUCGGAGUAUACGAAUCCAGCUUUCAAAAUUCAAUUAUGAUUAUGAUUACAACAUGUAUAAUAAAUCUAAGAAGAACCGUUGCUAAUGUACUGAAACUCAAAUGAAUUAAAAUUGUACACAGUGUUUUGCUCUUUAAAUGAUUACCAAAGCUAAUAUUUCCUAAAUCCAGUAUUUCUAAGUGCGAAAAGGAACAACAUCUUAACCAGCCAUACCAAUUGUGUUUUACUCCCUCACUAGAAUGUUCUAGGGGGUUACAAACAAUUUUUUUUAGUUCAAAUACCCCUUAUACCCCUAUUUUUUUUCUUGAUUAACCAACCUGAAGUUUUUUAACCUUAGUUAUUCCUUGACCUUGGUCGAUUGUGUUUGGGUUAUGGGCCAAUGUUUGGUUUGGAUUAACAGGUCAAUUGGAUCCAUACAACUAAAUGUCCAAAUAUGGAUUGGCUUAUCAAUUAUUAUAACUUUUGAUCAUGAACAUUUAGGUAUUUUGUAUUAAAACCAAUGGAUCGCUAUCCAGCAGAAAACCAAUCAACUAAUACUCAUUGUACGAAAAUCCUAAUUAAAUCACUCAAUAAAAGCUUGAAGCAGGGAUUAAACACUUAGUUCGUGAACAAAAUUAGAAACCAAUUAAAGGUUCAACCAAACAAAUAAGCCUAGACUAUGGCAAUACCGAAAAUCAAAAAUUACUAUGAAAAUCAAACACAUAGUAGCAUUAACGCCUAACCAAAUUUAUCAGAAUAUCAGGGAAUAAAACAAGUGAAGAUCAUGAUAUGAAGGUCAACAAAACAUAGGAAUAACACUACUGAAGAAUCGACAAACUAGGCUUUAAGAAUCAAGGAGCUAAUAUUAACAGGAUAUCAAAUCAUUCAAGAGACAAAGGGAUUUUAAACUAAUAACAAUAAAAGGCAUAUAACAACUGAACCUAUUUCAUUUGAGAUUGUGGAAAAACAAACAAGAAAUCAAAGCAUCUAACAAUUAACGAAGAUGAAGCAAAUACAUAAAAGCAAGGACAGAGUACUUAGCUUUUCUUUUUACACAUGCAAAUCCGACUUGAGACCAUUUCGCUGGUUCUUGACCACUUUUGUAGAGGUUUUUAACCUCCUAGGACAACUGGCAUGGUAGAUAACAAGUUCAGGAGUUUAGGAAGGGCAUUUAUGAUUCUGAGACCCCAGUGAGGUCUGAGAUCUGAAAUUCAUCAGUGAUUAGUGUUGUUUGGGAGUCAUGAGUAUCAAGUUUGGGGAAUGGGAUGGCCAGGGACUUCCUGGGACGAGUUUGAUCGAAUUCUUAUAGGAUUGAGUUUUACGGUUAAGCUUUAACUUAAUAUUCGAAAUGUUUUGGAUGGAUUCGAAGGGUGUGACAAACAUGAUUGGAAAGAAGAGGUUGAUAUGUUCCAGGGAUGUAAGUUUGGAGGGGUUUGGAGAUGAGUCUCCGAAGAUUGGGGGUUCCCACGACCUUUCUGUGAAGAUUUGAGAUGGUGAGGGGUCGUUUGAAGGGAAUAGACUACAGGAUGGGGAAGAGGAGGUUUUGAUGGUCCUACGGUGUAAAGUUGGGGAGGUUUGGAAAAGGUUCGCCGGAGACGGUGGUUUCGACGACCUUAGUUUUAAUAUUCGAGACGAAGGAGACCUAUUCGAUGAAAACUAGUCACAUGACGUGAAAGAGGAGAUUGUGAUGGUUUGAUGGUGUAAAUCUGCGAAGGUUUGGUCAUUGGCCGCUGCCAUGAGUCGAUUUCUGGCGGCGGCGUUAGGGUGGUAAACGGGUGGUAAAGGGGUGGUCAACGGGUGGUCAAGGGUGGUCAAGGGCGGUGUUACGUCAGAGGUGGACUGUACGAGGAAGAAGAUAAGUCUGUCUCUGAGUGUAUAUAGGUGUUUGGACAUAUGUAUAUGAAUUUUGGGGGAGUUUCAUGGUCGUUGGAUGAUCACAUGAUCAACAGCUGGGAUACCUGGUCUUUAAACGGUCUUGUUUGGGUUAUUCUUUGGUAUGGACUGGAUCAGGGUGGUAUAGGGCUGGGUCUGUGGGUCUUCUAAGAGUUAAAUUAUUUGGGCCACUCAGGUCUAGCCCAAUUCUGGCCAGCCUGAGUGGCUGUGCAUAUUUAUAUGUACUUUUUGUCCUUUUCUUUUUAAUUUAAUUAAUCAAUAAUUUUAUUUAAAAACAAAAUUUUCUAACUAACAAAAAUAAAAAUGUAACAAGUUGAAAUUAAACCAAAUACUACUUGCAUGCAUAUUUUUGUAUUUUAAUUUGUAAAAUAAACCUAUUUAACAAUUAAAUCCUAAACAAUUUAAACAUCCAUUAAUGAACACGCUUUGGCACACGUAAUUGAACUAAGUCCUAAAUAAAAUAGAAAAAGGGAAAAUAAUAAACUUUGGGAUCCUAUAGGAGUCGUUUCAGCCGGAUAAAAAUCAUAUGCUCACAGUUGUCCCUCUUUGCGCGGGAACACGAAGAGUUUUCGUGCAAAGAUAAGGGAGAAAAUAUGAGAGAUUUUCGUCCAAUUGAAUACUCCAUGAGAAGCAUUUUGAAAAACUCCUGACCGAACAUUGCUUCAAAGAUUGCCUACAUAUCCUUGGCAGUAAAGGAAUCAGGUCAGUGCUGUUCUAGAUAUUUUGGUAGCUGGGAUUAACUGAAAACUGUGAUUGGAUGUUGUUGCUGCUGUUUCUGUUUGCUAAGCUCCUUAUUACACCAAAGAAAAUCAAAAGCUAAGCAAGCUAAGCCAAACAACUAUGAGCUACAAGAUUCCUACCUAUGAGUCUCUUGAAGCUUCAUCUUGAGUCUUGGCUAGCCCUUGUAGCAAACUAUGAUCUGAAUCUUGAUGAUCAUUUGCUGCCAAUACUGGUUCAUUCUUCAUUUUGAGAUAAAGUAGGACAUACGGAGUUUGUUUCUUCAAUUAUAUUUUGAGCAGUACGUGUAUUUGUCCGCUUCAUCACUUUGAGUUCACUUCUUUUGUCUCUUUUUCUUUUCUUCUGUUCUGAAUUGACACUCAUGCUUUCAAUUAUUCCAAAUCUUGUGCCUUGAGGCGAAACCUGCUCAGACAGCAACACAAACAAACGAACAAAAUUUUCUGCCCCAGUUUUCAAUGGAAAAUUUUGUGUGUUAUUUGCAACACACAUCUAUGCUACUCUUUAUUAAAAACAAUAAAAAUCCAAAUUGUGUAUCCCUUGGAAAAAUCGCCAGGUUAUGCUGGGAAAGAGAAAGGGUUCCUACUGGGGAUAAGAUGAGAAUCCACGGGUUAUGCCGGGACAGAAAUAAAAGAGGUCUCUAUGUGGAUGGAAAGAAAAGAUCUGUGGGUUAUGCCAGGAUAGGAAAGUUUCUGCUAUGGAUGGAAGGAGAGUCUUAGGUUGUGAAGAAAUUCCCAUGCUUUUAAUCCUUCCGAAUCUUGUGCCUUAAGGUGAAACCUAUUCAGACAACAACACAAACAACCGAAUGAAAUUUUUCUUCCCCAGUUUUCACUAGAAAAUUUUGUGAGUUAUUUGCAACGCACUUCUAUGCUACUCUUGGUUGAAAACAAAAAUUAAAUUGGAAUUGUGUAUCUCUUGAAAAUAUCGCCAGGUUAUGCUGGGAAAGAUAAAGGGUUCCUGUUAUGGAUAAGAUGAGAAUCCACGGGUUAUGCCGGGAUAGGAAUGAAAAGGGGUCUCUAUGGGGAUGGAAAGAAAAGAUCCACGGGAUAUGCCGGGAUAGGAAAGUUCCUGCAAAGGAUGGGUUAUGAAGAAAUUCAUGGGUUAUCCAGGGAAUCCACGGGUUACGGCGGGAUGAAUGAAAAUCCCAGGUUAUGCUAAGGAGAUCCGCGGGUUAUGCCGGGAUGAAUGAAAAAAUCCUGGUUUGCUGGGGAAACCACAGGUUAUGCCGGGAUAAAUGGAAAAUCCUAGGUUAUGCUAGGGAAAUCCACGGGUUAUGCCGGAAUGAAUGAAAAGUCUUAGGUUAUUCUAGAGAGAUCCGCGCUUAUGCCGGGAUGGAUGAAAAAAUCCUAGGCUAUGCAAGGGAGAUCCGCGGGUUAUGCCGGGAUGAAUGCAAAAUCCUAGGUUAGGCUAGGGAGAUUUGCAGGUUAUGUCGGGAUGAAUGAAAAUCCUAGGUUAUGCUAGGGAAAUUCGUGGGUUAUGCCGGGAUGAAUGAAAAAUUCUAGGUUAUGCUAGGUAGAUCCGCUGGUUAUGCUGGGAUGAAUGAAAAAAUCAUAGGUUAUUCUAGGGGAAUCCACGGGUUAUGCCGGGAUGAAUGAAAAAUAUCCUAGGUUAUGCUAGGGAAAUCCGCAUAUUAUGUCGGGAUUGGAAGGAGAUCAUGGGUUAUGCCAGGGGAAUCUGCGGGUUAUGCCAGGACGAAUAAAAAUAUCCUAUGUUAUGCUAGGGAGAUCAGUGGGUUAUGCUAGGGAAAAACACGGGUUAUUCCAGGAUGAAUGAAAAAAUCGUAGGUUAUGCUAGGGAAAUCAACGGAUUAUGCCGGGAUGAAUGAAAAAUAUCCUAGGUUAUGAUAGGGAAAUCCGCGUGUUAUGUCGCGAUUGGAAGGAGAUCUUAGGUUAUUCUAGGGGAAUCCACGGGUUAUGCCAGGAUGAAUAAAAGUAUCCUAGGUUAUGCUAGGGAGAUCCGCGGGUUGUGUCGGGAUGAAUGAAAAAUCCUAGGUUAUGCUAGGAAAUCCACGGGUUAUGCCGAGAUGAAUGAAAAAUCCUAGGUUAUGCUAGGGAAAUACGAGGGUUAUGCCAGGAUGAAUGAAAAAACCCUAGGUUAUUCUUGGGAAAUCCACUGGUUAUACCGGGACGAAUGAAAAAUAUCCUAGGUUAUGCUAGGGAAAUCCACGGGUAAUUCCGGGAUUGGAAAGAGAUCCUGGGUUAUGCUAGGGGAAUCUGCAGGUUAUGCCAGGAUGAAUACAAAUAUCCUAGGUUAUGCUACAGAGAUCUAUGGGUUAUGCCAGGAUGAAUGCAAAAUCCUAGGCUAUGCUAUGGAAAUCAACGGUUUAUGCUGGGAUGAAUGAAAAUCCUAGGUUAUCCUAGGGAAAAACUCGGUUUUGCUGGGAUGAAUGAAAAAAUCUUUGCUUAUGCCAGAUAAAUCCACGGGUUAUGCCGGGAUGAAUGAAAAAAUCCUAGGUUAUGCUAGGGGAAUCCACGGGUUAGGUCGGGAUGAAUAAAUAAUAUCCUUGGUUAUGCUAGGGAAUAACCGCGGGUUAUGCCGGGAUUGGAAGGAAAUCCUGGGUUAUGCCAGGCGAAUCCCCGGGUUAUACCGGGAUGAAUAAAAAUAUCCUAGGUUAUGCUAGGGAGAUCCGCGGGUUGUGCCAGGAUGAAUGAAAAAUCCUAGGUUAUGCUAGGGAAAUGCACGGGUUAUGCCGGGAUGAAUGAAAAUAUCCUAGGUUAUGCUAGGGAGAUCUGCGGGUUAUGCCGGGAUGAAUGAAAAAAUCCUAGGUUAUGCUUGGGGAAUCCACGGGUUAUGCCGUAAUGAACGAAAAUAUCGUAGGUUACGCUGGGAAAAUGUGCGGGUUAUGCCAGCAUUGGAAGGAGAUCCUGGGUUAUGACAGGGGAAUCCACAGGUUAUGCCGGGAUGAAUAAAAUUAUCCUAGGUUAUGAUAGGGAAGAUGCAAGGCAGUAGAGGGGCUUAGAGAUCCUUUCGACUAUGCUGGGGAUAAAGAAGGAAAGAAACAACCCUUAGGUUAUGCUAAGUGUAGGGGAGUAUUAACUCCUAGACUAUGCUGGGGACUAGGGAGUGUAGGGAGGGAAUCCCGACGUUAUGCUGAGGAUGUGGAAGGAAACUUCCGGGUUAUAUCGGGAUGUGAAGGAAGGAGACUUCUUAGUUUUUUUUGGAGGGGGUGGAAUGCAAUUCUUGGGUCAUGACUAGGGAAUCCACAAACGGUUACAUAGGGAAACUAGGGAUUUGAAUCCCGUGCUAUCAUUCUUAUUUAUGAAAUUGCAGGAAAAUGAAAAGAAAAUCCCUUUUGUCAUUGGCGCAACACCAUCUUUGGUCCUUGUGCUCGGCCUUUGGUUGUGUUUUCUUUAUGUUCCCUUUGCUUUUCUAGGUUGCACCUGCAUCUAUUUUAGUUUAGAAUCAAAACAAACUGUUAGUUUGAACAGUAAUUGGUUUUGCGGCCUUGUCACGCUUGAUUUCAAAUUCCAUUGUGUUCAAAAGUGAACCCUUGACCUUCAAUCCUUGCUUUAAUUGGCUAGGGUGUCCUCAUUUCAGAUUGGCCUUUGUUUCUCGGGCCUUGGGUUGUGAGUUUUUUUCGGCCUUUGAUUUUGGAUUGCUUUUGGGGCUUUUGAUAAGAAUCAACAUCCUGUUUGGUUUAAAACCCCUCCGAUUUUUCUUCACUUUCAUGCCUUUCUGACUUUGACUUUCCAUUCUCUUACUUCCUUACUUUUGAGACAUUAACUGUCAUGAUCAAACGGGAUCGGCUAAGCGCGCAUGGCGAUGUCGAGCGUUCACUUAAUUCUUGUCAAGAGAAACUCACGAGGCCGGCCCUACUACCUUUCUUAAGGAAUGGUCAGGACAUUAAAAUUAAAGUGGAAAUGAGUGAAGUAUAAAUUAAGAGAGGCAUGUUCUUUUGAGGAAAAAGAGGGAACUUAUCUGGAAACAUAAGUCGGCUAUAAAUGGUAACGACAUGCUUCUUGGACUGGAUACCCGGCCCAAAUCCACUUCCGCUUUCUGACUUCAACUUUACCAACACCAAAGAAACUUAUUCAGGCCUGGGCAGCAAUGUUUCCUCUUUUCAGCCGACGGAGACCUUUUUGGGUUUUCGCCAAUAGGCCUCUCUAAUUUCUCUUCUCAUGUCGCCCGCUAGCGCUCUUUGCGAGUUUUCGCUAAACGGACUCUCUCAUUUUGUUUUUCUCUGCUCAUCGUCGCCUUAUGGUGCACGUAGUUUUUCACCGGUAAGACUCUCUCAUUUUAUUUCUCUCACGAAUUUGACUGGUGCCGAACCCCCAAUAAUGGUAUUUCCCCCCCAGGGAUAUAUAACUUUAUAACCGAUCGAAUAGAUUUGUGACAAAACCUAUACAUUUCUGCCCAAGUCAUCAUAUAUGUGAGUGAAUGGGGUUUUUAUUUUGGUAUGAUUGAACCUCAGGGAGAGGCUUCCUACGUAUCUUUUCGGAAUCAAGUCAGACGUAGUUCAGGAAAUUUUCCUAAACUAAUUUUGUCUGUAUUCUUCUUUCUUUUCUUUUCUUUUUUUUUUUGGCAUUUUUCUUUUCUCUUCUUUUGCAUUUUCAACUUUUUUUUUCAAUUUCUUCUUUUCAUUUUUCUCUCUCUCUCUUUUUUAUUUUUUUGUUUUUUAUUUUAUUUAAAUUUUCUUCUCAUGGUUAAAAAGAGAGAGGGGAUAGCGGGAGAGAAAAGUCCUUGUCAUUUCAAUCCACCGGGGUUAUUACUGUAGGGGGUUCAAACAUAAUACCUCUUUACUGCGUCUGCGUUUACCGCUUCCUCGGGCUCAUCUCCUUCAACGUCGCCCAGGUACAAUGCUACUCUAUGCAAUAUCAUUCUGAUUAUGUAUGGGCCUUUCCAAUUUGGAGCGAAUUUUCCUUUAGCUUCUUGAUGAUGGGGAAGUAUCCGUCUCAAAACCAUCUCCUGAACUUCGAAAUUCCUGGGGUGCACUUUCUUGUUGUAGGCACGGGCCAUUCUUUGUUGGUACAACUGCUCGUGGCAUACCGCCGCCAUUCAUUUUUCAUCGAUUAAUGCCAACUGCUCCAACCGGGUUUUCACCAAUUCACUAUCCUAAAUUUCUGCUUCGACAAUCACUCAGAGCGAAGGGAUUUCUACCUCUGUUGGUAUGACAGCUUCAGUUCCAUAGACCAGCAAAUAGGGGGUUGCUCCUACCGAUAUAAGUAUUGUGGUACGAUAUCCCAUCAGUGCGAAAGGUAGCUUUUCGUGCCAUUUCGUGGAGCUUCGAAUCAUUUUCCUCAAGAUCAUCUUGAUGUUCUUGUUGGUUUCUCCGACCGCACCAUUAGCUUUAGGCUGGUAGGGAGUGGAGUUUCUAUGUGUUAUCUUGAAUUGUUCACAUAUCUCUCCCAUCAUCCGACUGUUUAGAUUAGUUGCAUUGUCAGUAAUGAUGGUAGCGAGAAUCCCGAAGUGGCAAAUAUGUUGGAAUGCACAAAAUGCACUACCGCUUUCUUGGUAACAGACUUGAGGGUGAUGGCCUCGACCCAUUUUGUGAAAUAAUCAAUGGCGACCAAUAUAAAUUUUUGCCUAUUUAAGGCCUUUGGCUCGAUCGGCCCAAUGACGUCCAUUCCCCAGGAGACAAAUGGCCAGGGUGCUGUGUUAGGAUGCAGUUCAUUUGGUGGUGCAUGAAUCAGAUCACUCUGCACCUGGCACUGAUGACAUUUUCACACAAAGCUGAAACAAUCCUUUUCCAUGGUCAUCCAAUAAUAAUCGGCUCGGAGAGUAUCUUCUUUGGCAAUACAUAGCCUUUCACAUGGGGCCCACAUAUUCCUGCAUGUACUACGUGCAUAAUUCUCCCCGCUUCUUCGGCAUCCACACAUAUCAAAAAAUUAAGGUCUGGAGUCCUUUUGUACAGAGUGUCACUACUUAAGAAGAAAUUGCUCGCAUGCCGUCGGAAUGCUCAGGUGCCCAUUUGAGGUUUUAGGCUCGAUGGGGCCAAUGACGUUCAUACGCCAGGCGACAAAUGGCCAAGGUGCUGACAUAGGGUGCAGUUCAUUUGGUGGUGCAUGAAUCAAAUCACCAUGCACGAGGCAUUGAUGACAUUUUUGGACAAAGCUGAAGCAAUCUUUCUCCGUGGUCAUCCAAUAAUAGCUAGCUCUGAGUAUCUCUUUUGCCAGUACAUAGACAUUCAUAUGGGGCCCACACACGCCUGUAUGUAAUUAAAGCAUAUUUCUCCCGUCUUCUUCGGCAUCCACACAUCUCAACAAAUUAAGAUCUUGAGUCCUUUUAUACAAAGUGUCACCACUUAGGAAGAAAUUGCUUGCAUGUCGUCGAAUGGUUUUCUUUUGUUCUCCGGUGGCUUGCUCAUGGUACUCCUAUGUUUUUAGGAACCUUAAGAUUUCAUAAUACCAAGGUGUGGGCUAGGCUCUACUUCAGUAGCACUACAAUACCCAUGUCUUUCUUUGAUUUGAAUUUGUAAAGGAUCAACAUAGGCAUUCCCAAGGAAUGGCAACAUGGAAGCCAAGGUUGCAAGUGCAUCUGCUAACUCAUUGUGGCAAUGAGGAAUGUACCUGAACUGUCCCAACCUGAACCAUUUGCUGAGGUGCUUGACAUGCUGUCUGUACGGGAGGAGCUUAAUGUCCCUUGUCUUCUAUUCUCCUUGAGCUUGUCGGAUAAUUAGAUCGGAAUCUCCCAUGAUUAGCAACUCUUCAACAUCUUGGUUUAAUAUCCAUUUUCAUGCCCAUAAAGCAAGCCUCAUAUUCAACUGUACUGUUGGUGCAGAAGAACUGGAGUCUGGCCAUAGCUGGAUAAAGCUGGCAUGUGGCUGUGAUUAAGAUCGCUCCAAUCCAUACGCCCUUUGCGUUUGCCGCUCCGUCGAAGAGCAUUUUCAAGACGGGGGUGUACUCAACUACUAUUUCCAGUGAGUUCACUUCUUCAUCAGGGAAGUAGGCAUUUAACGGUUGAUACUCCUCAUCAAUGGGGUUAUCUGCCAAAUGAUCUAUCAAUGCUUGAGCUUUCAUCACAGUACGAGUGGCAUAAACAAUGUCGAACUCAGUGAGCAAGAUCUGCCAUUUGGCCAGUCGUCCUGUGGGCAUUGGUUUUUGGAAUAUGAACCUUAGUGGAUCCAGCUUGGUUAUGAGGUACGUGGUAGGAGCUUGCAGAUAAUGCCUUAGCUUCUGAGCCACCCAUGUCAAGGCGCAACAAGUACUUUCUAACAAUGUAUACUUGACCUCGUAGCUGGUAUACUUUUUGCUGAGAUAAUAGAUGGCCUGCUCUUUCUGUCCCGUCGCAUAAUGCUGCCCGAGAAUACAAUCGAAAUAGCCUUCCAAGAGCGUCAGAUAGAGAAACAGUGGCCUUCCUUAUUCUGGCGGAACUAAAACUGGUGGAUUGGACAAGUAUUUCUUGAUUCUAUCAAAAGCUUCCUGACACUCGAAUGUCCACUUUACUGCCGCAUGCUUCUUUAGUAGCUUGAAUAUAGGCUCACAUGUUGAAGUCAACUAGUAGAUGAAUCGGCUGAUGUAACUCAGUCUUCCCAAUAGACUUAUUACAUCCUUUUUGGUCUUUCGCAGGGGCAGCUCCCCAAUGGAUUUGAUCUUCGUUGGAUCCAUUUUGAUGCCUCUCCGGCUGAUGAUGAACCCCAGAAGUUUGCCCGACGGAACUCCAAAUGCGCAUUUUGCUGGAUUUAGUUUCAAAUUAUAUUUGUAGAGCCUUUCGAUGAAUUUCCUCAGAUCCUUUACAUGAUCGCCUUGUCUCUUGGAUUUGAUAAUCACUUCAUCCACGUACACUUCGAUUUCUCGAUGCAUCAUAUCGUGUUAAAUGGUUGUCAUAGCCCUCAUGUAUGCCGCCCCCGCAUUUUAAAAUCCAAAAGGCAUAACUCUAUAACAAUAUGUUCCCCAAGGUGUGGCAAAGUCGAUUUUCUCAGCAUUUUCCUCGUCCAUCAACACUUGGUGGUAUCCUGCAUAGAAAUCUACGAAGAUUUUGAUCUCAUGCUUGGCAUACUUAUCGACAAGGAUGUGGAUGUUGGGCAGAGGGAACUUAUCCUUGAAACUCGCCUUUUUCAAGUCUCAAUAAUCCAUACACACUCGAGUUUUCCCGUCCUUCUUUGGUACUGGGACCACAUUGGCCAGCCAUGUGAUGUACCGAACUACCCAAAUUACACAUGUUUCUAGCUGUUUUGUAAUCUCCUAUUUGAUUUUUUCGCUGACAUCAGGCUUGAACUUUCUUUGCAUUUGUUGGACUGGGGGUAUUCAGGGUACGUGCGCAACUUAUUAACCACCAAAUCCAUACGCAAGCCAGGAAUGUCGUCAUAGGACCACACAAAUACAUCUUUGAAUUCCUACAGGAGUUGAACCAAUGAAUCUCGUAUUUCUAUAUUCACGUAGAUACUUAUUUUAGUUUCUUUGAUUUCAUUGGAAUUGCCCAAGUGAAUCGGUCCAGUAUCAUUUAAGUUAGGCUUAGGUUUAUUUUCAAAGUGUUCCAACUCUCGGUUGAUUUCCCUAAAAGCCUCUUCUUCAUCGUAUUCUAGUUCUUGGUUCAUUAUUUCACAGAUGGGCAGAAAGUUUGGGUCACAGCACGAAGUGCGCGAGUAUGUGUUUUAUAUAAAGCCGCAUUAUUGGGACUGAAAGAAAAGAUGACAAAUAAAGAAAGACAAAUAUUAGUAUCAUUAAAGUUUGGCUUAGGUUUGUUUUCAAAGUGCUCCAACUCUCGGUUGAUUUCCCUAAAAUCCUCUUCUUGAUCGUAUUCCGGUUCUUGGUUCAUUAUUUCACAAAUGGGCAGCAAGUUUGGGUCAUGGCAUGAAGUCUGCGAGCAUGUCAUUUUUUUAAAGCUCCAUUAUUGGGAGUGAAAGGAAAGAUGAAAAAUGAAGAAAGCCAAAAUUAGAAAAAGGCAAAGAGGUGUGAAUGACAAAAAAUUGAUUUUAUUGCUUUGAUCAUAUAAGAUAACAGGGUUUACAAUUGAGAUUUAAAGUACUAAAGGAAAACAAACAACUGAGCUACACCCUGAAAUAGCUUGUGAUGUGGGAAGAGGUAGCAAGGCGAGACUUCCGGGUCUCCCGCCUGACCGUAAAAGGUGUGGCCUUCUAGUUUUGAAGUUUGGCAUCUGGUCCCAUAUAAAGCACUUCAGCGGAGCUUGAACCUUCUCCCGGUUGGACCAUGUUUACUUCAUAGAGCAAUUCCCUCAUAGCACCAGAGAUCUCAUCAAUUUCUUCUACCGUGAAGGUUUCUUCUUCCUCCUUCUCACUGUACUUUGGUUUUACUAAGGUUUCGUAUAAGUGGGGUAGGGUUUGUGGUAAGACCCAUCCCUGGCACUUUCUGCAAUUGGUCCAGGUGAUAUCUUCGGAGGUCGGAUGAAAUCCCAGUCCAAAGAACGUUUCUGCGACAGGCAAGGCGACCAGCUCGGUUAUGCCUUAUAGGGAGCUUCUGAGUCCCUUGCCUGGUUAGAAACCUUGACGCUUCAUUUUCUUCGCUAACAUAUUUGAAGUAUUUGACAGGAAAGGCUGGGGCAGCGGCUUGCCCUCUUCAUGUUGGUCGGUUACUACAACUUCAAAAGCUUGGUAGAUUAUGUGUUCAGUCCCUUCCUUGGCUUCUAGACAAGGAACAUAGGGGUCUCGAUAAAUCGAUUGUUCGUCCUCUCCACGAACUACGAUCUCCUGGUUUUCAUGCUCAAAUUUCAGCAUUUGGUGCAGGGUAGAAGGCACUGCCCCUGCUGCAUGAAUCCACGGUCUUCCCAGGAGGUAAUAAUAGGAGUUGUCCAUGUCCAACACCUGGAAUGUUACUUCGAAGUCGACUGGACUAAUAGAAAUACUCAGAUAUUAAAGAAAUACUCAGAUAUACCGUUGUUAAAGAGGAUUCAUGCGAGACCAAGUUCCUUGUCCUCAAAGAUCAUUCCGAUGACCGGCCCGUUGUUGUGAACCGGUAAUGGAUUAUCAGUUAAAUUUGGGACCUCUUCAUCCCUUAGUACUAUCUUCUUUUGGUCAAUAAAAUCUUCAACUGCUCGUUUUAAGGUCUAAUAAAUUUUCAGUGUCAUGUCCCUCAUCCCCACUGUGGUAAGCACAACGCACGCCCCUUUGGUAAGAAGGUGAUUCGGGAUUCUGUCUAUUUGGGGGUAUAGGCUGGAGGAGACAUGUGUGGACCAACUUUGGGAACAUGCUGGUGUUGGAUUCUCCUAUUAGGGUGAAGUUCUGUCCCGUGGGUGGAUCCCUGGGACGAUAAUUAUUUUGCUGAGGGCGGGGAUUGUAAUGAUUCUGAGGAAGUUGAUUUCUUAGAGCUUGAUUUCUAUUAUUGUGUUGUUGAGGUCGGGCAAAGAGCUGAGCGUUCCUAUCUGCGUAGGGUUGAGGGAAAUAAUGCAUGUCUCGGUGAGGAUAGUAAUUUGAGGUGCAUGCAUGUGGGUGUGCUGUUUUCUCAUCCCGGAGGAUGCCAUGGAUGCUUCCUCUUUCUUCUUGUUCCUUCGAAUUCCUCCCGCCCCUCCUUAUAUGAUCUGGGAGGUUGCAUUUAUGGCAUAUUGACUUCGAAUCCUCCCUAUUUUGAGGCCAUUCUCUACCAUCUCCCCACUCUUUAUUGCUUCUGCGAAUGGAUUUCCCAUUGCGGACAUCAUGUUAUGAAAAUAGUCUUCCUCUUAUGGUUGCAGAAAGACGGUGACCAUCUCUCUUUCGUCCAUUGGAGGCUUCAAUAUUGAUGCUUGCUCUCGCUAAUUAAUAGUUUAUUCUCUGAAGCUUUCAGCAGGUUUCAUCUUCAAGCUGGCUAGGGAAUUCCAAUCCGGGGCGAUGUCGAUGUUGUACUGGAAUUGUCUUACAAAGUACUAGGUGAGGUCAUCCUACAUGUGCCAUCGGGUAAUGUCUUGAUCUAUGUACCAUUCGGAUGCAAUACCCACUAAGCUCUCCCCAAAGUACGCCAUCAAGAGUUCUUCCUUUCCGCCGGCUCCAUGUAGUUUAUUGCAAUACUUCUUCAAAUGGGCGAUAGGGUCGCCGUGGUCAUCGUAUUUUUCGAAUUUCGAAAUCUUAAACCCCAAGAGAACAUUUACAUGGGUGAACAUGCAUAGGUCUGAGUAAGAUACACUUUUAUGUACACUUAGUCCUUGCAUGUUCUUUAGACAUUGUUCAAGACUUUUCUUUCUCCUUGUGAUUUCAUCUUGCUCGGGCAUUUUGGAAGUUUUGUCUUGUACGGGGGUAAAUUGAUGUGCUGGCUGAGGGUAGUUGUAUGUAGGGUACGGGGGAGGCUCAUUUUGGUAGUUAGGAUUUUGGAACGUAAAGGCUGUAGGGUAAAACAUGGGCCUCGGUACCGCAGGCUGUGUGGUAGCUGCGCACGGAGGAGCCGUAAAGAUGUUGGGAACUUGCCCAGAUGUAGACAUCGGAGGGCGGGUUUCCCAAGGCGCCCCAAAAAAAUUGGUUGACAUGGUGGGCUGCCCAGGAGAAUACUAGGGUGACUGAUAGGGAUGGUGGAGGUACCCCCUGAUAGGGAUGGUGGAGGUACCCAGAAGCGAGGGGUUUUGUAGCAGUUUAUAUAAUUCAGAUAAUAUCGAAGCGGUAAAAUGUUUGGCAUUUAGCACAAAACAGGUAAGCAAAUUAGAAUAAGCCAAAUAUAAGAGUAAUUGUAUGCUCGAAUUCUUGAACCUUCAACCAAAGAUUCUUGGUUCGUUCCCCAGCAGAGUCGCAAGAGCUGUCACACCUCCUUUUUUACAUGGUUACCCCGAAGGAUAAAAAUGUAUAAAGGAGUUUUUCCAAUUAAUGUGACAUUAUUCGAAAUGGUAUUAAUUAUUUAUUUAAGAAUCACCACUUGGGAUAGGUUUGGCUUUUGGUGUCCCAAGUCACCGAUUUAUUUAGAAUCCCAAAUCGAGGAAAAUUUAGACUGCCCGAUUGGAGUCUGCGAACCAGAAAUUCUAAGUAAGAAAUUCUCUUUACCCGAUGGAAGGUGUUUGGAGCCCUCAGAUCCCGUAGUUCUAGCAUAGUCGCUUAAACUCAUUAUAAAUGGCUGGAGAUCUGAUUUGCUAUACCUGCUUAAACCUAUAAUGCAAUUAUUAAUCGCUUUUAAUAUUUUUAGGAAGUUUGCAAUGUCGUUAAAAUACGUCGCAGAUCACGUCACAUAAAUGCGCAUGCAAAUUUAGACAUAUUCUAACUUCAUUGAGAUUUUGAUUUGGGUCGCAUAAGUGCGCACCCGAGCUUAGGAAGGUAUUUUAUUAGAUAAUUUGUGCCUACAGCAGCUACGUCCUCAAAAUGCAUGGAAGGCCGUGAAAUUUGCUAAACGACACUUCCAAUUUUUUAAAUAUUUUUAUCCAUUUACGGAGCCUCGUGGUGUUUGAUUACAUGAACGCAACUCCUUUAUUUUAUAAGGACAUCCUUAGGCGUAUUAAAUUCUCUAUCAGGUUUGCGCCUAAAUACCCUAAUCAUUUAUACAUGAGCCACACAUUUGGAAAAUUAGUACUUGUGUUUCAGCCUCAGUCAUGGCUAAUCACACAUGCCAGGCCUCAAAUUUUGGCCAACCCAUAAACAUUCAUCAUAUCUGGCCAUUACUGGGCCUUUCAACUAGGCCCAUAGUUAAUUGAACUGAGGUAUCCAUAUAAACAAAUUUCGAUAAUGCUUCUUUUGGUUUGAGUUUAUACACAAAAUUAAUUAUCUGCACAGUCAUAAAGAGGAUACUAAUGAUCAUUUUAUAUCAACUUUCACAACUAAAUCUGGACUAAAUGAUUCAUAUACUCGUCAGUCGAAGUAUACGAAUCCAGCAUUGAAAAUUCAAUUAUGAUUCUGAUUACAACAUGUUAAAUAAAUCUGAGAAGAAUCAUUGCUAAUGUACUGAAACUUAAAUGAAUUAAAAUGUUACACAGUGUUUUAAUCUUUAAAUGAUUACCAAAACUGGUAUUUCCUAAAUCCAGUAUUUCUAAGUGUGAAAAGGAACAACAUCUGAACCAGCCCUGCCAAUAGUUAAACUUAGUAUCAAGUAUACAUGUAAAAGAAAAACUUAGUCAAAUAUCCAACUAUUACAUGUUGAAUCAGUCUCAAAUGUCCAGUUAUUACAAAAAUGAAGUAGUUCAAACAUCUAAGUACAACAAGAUAAUUAUCUUAUCAUUACAUAUAUUCAACUAGAGACGGGGAAAAUAGGGUGAAUAUUCAAAAAGAAAAAUAACAAACGUAAUCUUCACAUUUAGAAAUACAUUGCACUUGAACUUCAUAUAUCAAUGAAAAUCGAAUGUACCUAUAAUGCAGCAGAAAGCAGAAGCCUAUGAGUAAAUGCAAUGAGUCAGCCAAGAAAAACAACAAACCAAUCGAACAGUAUACCUAGGGUUUCAACAGAAUUUUGAGGCAUUUAAAAAAUCAUAAAGGAAUAAGAAUUAGAACUGAUUGUUUAUUACUGAUAUAGGAAGAAUAUGUAUUUUUCUCUAUAGAAUUCAAAAGAAAGGUUCUGGAUCCCUUUAAAAAAUGCUUAGAUGGUUUCCUUUAUAGUGGAGACUUAGGGCAUAAUUUUUCCUUGUUUUUUCCUUUUAGUCCCUGAGUUAGAUCUCAGCUUUUCGUAAAUGAUCACACAUUUCCUGACUUGUGCCUCAAGUAUAAGGUAUAAAUUAUGUUUUACUCCCUCACUAGAAUGUUCUAGGGGGUUACUAUCAGAUUAUUAAAGUUCAAAUACCCCUUAUACCCCUAUUGCUUUUCCUGAUAACCAACCUGAAGUUAAACCUUAGUUAUUCCUUGACCUUGGUCUAUUGUGUUUGGUUUAUGGGCCAAGGUUUGGUUUGGAUUAACAGGUCCAUUGGAUCCAUACAACUUAGUGUCCUAAUAUGGAUUGUCUUAUCAAUUAUUAUAACUUUGGAUCAUAAAUAUUCAUGUGUUUUGUAUUAAAACCAAAGGAUCACUAUCAACCAAAAACCAAUAAACUAAUACUCAUUAUAAGAAAAUCCUAAUUAAAUCACUCAAUAAAAGCUUGAAGCAGGAUUGAACACUUAGUUUAUGAACAAAAUUAGGAACCAAUUAUAGGUUCAACCAAACAAAUCAGCCUAGACUAUGCUAGUACUGAAGACAAAAAAUUACUAUGAAAAUCAAACACAUAGUAGCAUAAACGCCUAACCAAAAUAAUCAGAAUAUCAGGGAAUAAAACAAGUGAAGAUCAUGAGAUGAAGGUCAACAAAUCAUAAGAAUCACAUUACUGAAGAAUAGACAAUCUAGGCUUUCAGAAUCAAGGAGCUAAUAUUAACAAGAUAUCAAAUUAUUCAAGAGACGAAGGGAUUUCAAACUAAUAACAACCAAAGGCAUAUAAGUACUGAACCCUAUUUCAUGAGAUUUUCGAAAAACAAACAAGAAAUCAAAGCAUCUAGCAAUUAACAAAGAUGGAGCAAAUAUAUACAAGCAAGCACAGAGUACUUAGCUUUUUUUUUACACACGCAAAACCGACUUGAGACCAUUUCGUUGGUUCUUGACCUCUUUUGUAGAGGUUUUUAACCUCCUAGGACAACUAGCAUUGUGGAUAACAAGUUCAGGAGUUCAGGAAAGGCAUUUAUGAUUCUGAGCGUUGUGAGGUGUCAAAUCUGAAUUUCUUCAGUGAUUGGUAUUGUUUGGGAGUCAUGGGUAUCAUGGUUGAGGAAGGGGAUGGCCAGCGUUUUCCUGGGACGAGUUUGGCCAAAUUCCGACAAGAUUGAGUUUUAGGGUUAAUUUUUAACUUAAUAUUCAAAACAUUUUGGAUGGAUUCGAAAGGUGUGACACACAUGAUUGGAAAGAAGAGGUUGAGUUGUUUCAGGGGUGUAAAUUUGGAGGGGUUUGGAGUUGAGUCACCGGAGAUGGGGGGUUCCGACGACCUUUCUGUGAAGAUUUGAGACGAUGGGGGGUUAUUUGAAGGGAGUGGAAUGCAGGACAGGGAAGGGGAGGUCCUGGUGGUCCUAUGGUGUAAAAUUGGGGAGGUUUGGAACAAGGUCGCCGGAGAUGGUUGUUCCGACGAGGGAAGGGAAGUUUUGAUGGUCCUACAGUGUAAAUUUUGGGAGGUUUGGAAAAGGGUCGCCAGAGCCGGUGGUUCCAAUGACCUUACUUUGAAUAUUCGAGACGGAGGAGAACUAUUUGACGGAAACUAGUCAUAGGACAGGAAAGAGGAUAUUGUGAUGGCUUGAUGGUGUAAAUCUGGGGAGGUUUGGUGACCGCCUGCCGCCGUGAGGCAAUUUCCGACGGAGGCAUUAGGGUGUUCAAGGGGUGGUCAAGGGUAGUCAAGGGCGAUGUUACGUUGGAGUUGGACUGUACGAGGAAGAAGAUAAGUCUGUCUCUGGGUGUAUAGAGGUGUUUGGACAUAUGUAUAUGAAUUUUGGGGGGGGGGGUUUCAUGGUCGUUGGAUGAUCACAUGAUCAAUGGCUGGGAUACCUGAUCUUUAAACGGUGUUGUUUGGGUUCGUCUUUUGUGUGGACUGGAUCAGGGUGGUGUUGGGAUGGGUCUGUGGGUCUUUUCACGGUUAAAUUGUUUGGGCAACUCAGGUCUGGCCCAAUUAUGGCCAUCCUGAGUUGUUGUGCAUAUGUAUAUGUACUUUUUGUCCUUUUCUUUUUAUUUUAACUAAUCCUUAAUUUUAUUUAAAAACAAAAUUUCUAAUUAACACAAAUAAAAAUGCAACACGUUGAAAUUAAACCUAAUAUAAUUAAAAUUCCAGAAAUACUACUUGCACACGUAUUUUAAUUUGUAAA